GGGCAUAAUAUUAGCGGCCAUAGAUAACCCGUCAAACGCAGUGGAGUGGGCGCUGGCGGAGAUGGUGAACAACCCAGAAUUGCUGGCCAAGGCAGUGGAGGAGAUGGACCGGGUGGUCGGUCGCGAGCGACUGGUGCAAGAGUCGGACAUCAUGCAGCUCAACUAUCUCAAGGCGUGCAUACGUGAGGCAUUUCGCCUCCACCCAAUCGCUCCCUUCAACCUGCCGCACGUCGCGAUUGCAGACACCAUUGUUGCGGGCUACCGCGUGCCCAAGGGUAGCAACGUCAUCCUCAGCCGGCUGGCCCUGGGCCGGAACCCCACCGUCUGGGAUGAACCGCUCCGCUUCAAGCCAGAGCGCCAUAUGGGAGACAACAUCAAUGUGGUGCUUACUGAGAGCGAAUUGCGGUUCAUCUCCUUUAGCACCGGACAGCGGGGAUGCAUCGCGGCAUCACUAGGAACAACCAUGAGUGUCAUGCUCUUUGGCAGGCUCCUGCAUGGCUUCACCUGGACCAAACCGGCUGGGGUGUCGGCCAUCAAUCUCAGCGAGUCCAAGCACGACCUUUUCAUAGAGAAGCCGCUAGUGCUACAUGCUAAGCCACGUCUUCCAGUGCACCUCUACUCUCUCAUGCAUUGUUGAGCAAAUAACGAGCUAUGAAUCACCGAUAUGGCGAGUACGCUAGCUAUUUUUUUGAUGAAUCUAUACUUACUAAUAAAGGAAGGAAAUAUUCUUUUUUUCGUCUCGCUUUGUUUCGUUCCACUUCGAUUGAUUUUCACGUAUGCUAGCUAUUUUGGUUUUGUCUGUUGCACGUACGAGCGAGCCGGUUUCUUUCAUGCGCCGCUGGAUCGUCCUAGGCUUGUCCAAAGCAUUGGAACAGUACGUGAUAGGCAAACAACCACCCAUCUAGUAUUAAUUUUGGACAAAUAGAGAUUAAAUGUAUACAAGAUGAUGCUCUUUAUAUCACCAACGAAGGAUGAAAGUAGGUCGGCGCAUAUAGGGCAACUCCAUUUGAGUUGUUUCUUCCGGCCCAAGUCCCAGGCGGGGCAGCAUAGCAGCCUAUAAUAGUCUUUCUAUUUUGGUUCAUCAAUUAAAUAGUACCACAUAGUUUUCUUACUUUUAAUCCCACAUAGUUUUCUUACUUUUAAUCCUACAAGUUUAUAUACGCUAGCAUUAAAAAACUCAGAGAGUGAGGUAUGCAAUGAGGAUGCACAUUUCGAGGGUGAUCAGAUCUGAGAUUAUAGGCCAAUGAAAGCAAUACAGACACGAUUAAAGAUCUGUGAUUAUGGGCCAAUGGAACUAGUGAAAACCCAACUAAAUAUCUGAGAUUGUAGGCCAAUGAAAGAAAUGAAGACCCGAUUAAAGAUUCAAGACUAUUAUGGGCCAAUGGAAGAAAUAAAGACGUGAUUAAACUUGCAAACUCAUGCCGAUGUGCAUGGUGCAUAAUUGAAGGACUCGUGGGCUAAAUCAUUAUAAUUUACACGAAAGGCGAGAAGCAGAUGGGUGGGGUAGACCGAGAAGGCAUUUAAGGACGAGGAGGAACUCGCAAUUUUCACACUUGACGCAUACGACCAGCUCGUUGCCACACUCACGAAACAUGAAAUCAUGGGUGAUGACACGCCGAGGUGUCCACCAAAGCCCGUGCCACCAGGGAGAUACCUCUCUCUCUACGGAUUUUUUAUUUCUUGCAAUUAAUUUUGAUGAUAAAGACUAAUGUUUGUCCCGCGUUGCAACACACGGGCAUAUGUGCUAGUAAAUCAAAAGGAAAAAAAAACUGAAAUAAAAAUUAAAAAUAAAAACCUCAAGGAAAAAAACCCAACAAAAAGCCCAAGAAAUACCGGAAUGGAAUCAAACCUUGGAAGAAAAAACCACAAAAUCAGCACAACAAAUGCCGAACCAAAUACAACGAAAGCAACAGAAUAAAAAGGGAGCAACUAGUUGACGAGGGCUCCUUCGGGAGCCUCGCAACGAUCAGCGCCACUUGGCGCGCUCUCAGCCGCCCUGCCACAUGUCGCGCUCUAGACGCUCCUUUCGUAUUUUAAUAUUUUUCGCACGCGUUUUCGGCUUUUUAAAUGGUUUAUUUGGGGGUUUUUUCGACGUUUUGGUUUUCCGCAGCUUUUAGGCCAAAAAACUCAAAAAACAAUUGCGUGAAAAAGCACAUUUUUUUCUUCCGCGAGAGGCACGGUUUUGCUUCCGUGAGAGGCACGGUUGUGCUUUCGCGAGAGGCACAGUUUUGCUUCCGCGAGAGGCACGGUUGUGCUUUCGCGAGAGGCACAGCCGUGCCUCUCGAAAACGAAAAAAAUGCAUUUUCUGGUUUUUUUUCCUUCCGCGAGAGAAACGAUUUUGCUUCCGCGAGAGACACGGUUGUGAUUUUGCGAGAGGCACGGCCGUGCCUCUUUCAAAAAGGAAAAAACGCAUUUUUUUUGUUUUUUUCCUUCCGUGAGAGGCAUUGUUUUGCUUCCCCGAGAGGCACGGUUUUGCUUCCCCGAGAGGCACGGUUGUGAUUCCGGUAGAGGCACGACCAUGCCUCUUUCGAAAAGGGAAAAAACCAUGCUCUUGGUUCGGUUUUUUCGUCCUGUUUAUUCAUGAAGAAAAAGUUCGUUAAAACCUAUCAACAUGGUAUCUAGUUUUUAAGAUCUCGACGCAAGGAAUCGAACGGUGAAAACGGUUCGAGAUUUGGAUGCACGGUUUAAGAGAUAAAAUGUUUUCAAUAAACGGAUCUACAAAAAAAGAGAAAACUCACAUGUUGUGACAAAUGAUGCGUGCCAUUUGUCACAACCUGAGAAGGCGGUUGACACGAUAAACUCAAUUGGCAUUAAUGAUAGAGAUAGGGUAAGUGUCAUGUCUUUAUGUUCCUUCCAUGUUCAUGCUUCUUUUUUGGUGUUUCAAGUGCUAACUUGUUCUUUUGUUUGUAGGUCACUAUUGCAUAAAACUUAUUUCAAGGAGAAGAGAAGAAGACCAAGAAAAGGAAGGUCAAGAAAGGGAGACCAUUUGUGUUGGCCCGUUGCUACAAUGUGUUGAAGGAUGAAGAGAAAUGGAAGGCCCAUGAUGACCAAGAGGAGAGCAAGAAAAGCAAGGCAACUAUUGAUUUGGAUGAUGAGGAGGAGGAGGAGGCAUCUAGUGAUGGCGGCAGGAGAAGCCCUACACCAAACUCGGUUGCCUAGUCCGAACCAAAGAGACCAAAUGGAGGCAAGAAAGAUGCAAAAGAAAAGAAGAAGAAGAAGAAGAAGAAGAAAAAGAAGAAGAAGAAGAAGAAGAAGAAGAAGAAGAAGAAGAAGAAGAAGAAGAAGAAGAAGAAGAAGAAGAAGAAGAAGAAGAAGAAGAAGAAGAAGGAAGCAAACGAGGUGAGGAUGAUGACAAGGAGCCAAGAUGCGGCGGCCGAGGAGAGGAGGGUGGAUGCCGAGGAGAGGAAGGUGGCAUUGGAGGAGAAGAAAUUGGCCAUGGAGGAGCAAUCUAGAUUAUUGAAAUGGGAGAAGCACUUGUUCUUUAUGGACAGAUCUAAACUCGAUGAUAGGCAAAAGGAGUACGUCAUUCUUUCCCCUGAAGAAGUCUUGGUCCAAAAAAGAGCCAUGGCCAUGGGUGGCAUGGGUGGCUUUGGAGCUACCAUGGGAGGAAUGGGAGCACCUACGGGAGGCAUGGGUGGCUUCAGACAUACCAUGGGCGGCUGGGAGGCAUGGGUGUCUUCGGAGCUACCAUGGGAGGCAUGGGUGGCUUUAGAGCUACCAUGGGAGGCAUGAGUUUUGGGUCUCUCAUGAGAGGCACGGGUGCACAUCCGGGUGACAUGGGUGGACGCAUGUCUUCCGGUGUGCCUCACAUACCUUCGCUUUUUCCCAUUGGAGAUCUUAUGAACACCAUCCGAGCUCCCGAUGACGAUGCGGCGCUUGAAAAUGAAGAGGAGGAAGAAUCAUCUUCGGAUGAGGAGGAAGAAUCGGAGGAAGAAGAGGACGAUGAUGAGUGAUGUGGCAUGAUUGUUGAUGUGCCAUUUGUUUGUGCAAACUUUUAUUUGUCAUGAACUUGGUUGGGUGAUUUUGAACUAUGACAUGCAAGUGAACUAUGCUAUGUCUUUGUUUUGCACAUUUGUUUAAUGAUUGAAACAUCAUCAUAUAUACUGUCAAAUGGGCAUGUUAAAAUCAUAUUUGCAAGCGCCGGCUGCUCACACGCUCGGUAAAUUAGCGCGCCUUCUGGAGCUGCUCGCGCGUGCCAUAUUUUACUGCGGCUGCUGGAGCCAGCGCCUUGCUUCACGCAAUAAACGCCAUUUUGACGUUGUAAAAAAGUUUGUGCGGGUCGUGCGGUUGCGCACCUGUUAAAGAUGCUCUUAGAAUCGUGUUUUUACGGCGCCUAUGUGAUGCCCUAUUCUGCAAGAACUUGGAGUUGCGGUCGCCCCUCCGGCCGAUGCAUCACUUCUUCCCUGUCGUAGAGCUCAUGCAGGUCUUUUUCAAGCCACACCGAACCGAAGUCAGUACGUACGUGCCCAGUUCUGCACGUGCUUGGACACAUCUUUUAACCUGCUAGAAGGAGGCCCAUGAGUCCACUCUUGCCUGCGUCGUGCAUGCAUGUCCCNNNNNNNNNNNNNNNNNNNNNNNNNNNNNNNNNNNNNNNNNNNNNNNNNNNNNNNNNNNNNNNNNNNNNNNNNNNNNNNNNNNNNNNNNNNNNNNNNNNNNNNNNNNNNNNNNNNNNNNNNNNNNNNNNNNNNNNNNNNNNNNNNNNNNNNNNNNNNNNNNNNNNNNNNNNNNNNNNNNNNNNNNNNNNNNNNNNNNNNNNNNNNNNNNNNNNNNNNNNNNNNNNNNNNNNNNNNNNGGGCUCCCCGUUUUGCGGUUUAUUUUGCCACCGGUUUUCGAAAGGUUCUAGAACCUUCCCAAAACCGGUUUUUUGGUUUUUUAUGUUUUCUAUAUUAGUUUUCCGUUUUUAUUUUCUUUUAAAUGUUUACUUUCUUUUCUUAUUUUUUCUCUCAUUUUUUCUUUCUUUUUCCUUUUUCCUUUUCUUCUUUUUUUCUUUUACUUUUUACUUUCUUCAGUUUUUGACUAUUUUUGGCAAUUUUUAUUUUUGAAUUCGUUAACACCUUUUUUUCAUCGAAUUCUAGAAAUUUUCAACCAUGUAAAAAAAUGGUCAACAAUCCAGAAAAUGUUCAUCUAAUUCAAUUUUUUGUUCAUCAGAUUUAGAAAAUGUUCAUAAAAAUUCAAAAUUUGUUCAUCGAACUAAAAAAAUGUUCAUCGGAUUCUUUUUUUGUUCAUUGUUUUCAAAAAAUGUUCAUCACAUUCAAAAAAAAUUCACUAAAUUACAAAUCUGUUCAUCAAAUUCAAAUCUUGUUCAUAAUUUUUUCAAAAAAUUUCUUGAAUACAAAUUUUGUUCAUCAAAUAAAAAAUAUGUUCAUAAAAUGCCAAAUUUGUUUAUCGAUGUUCAAAAUAUGUUCAUCAAAUUCAAAAACAUGUACAUUCCUUCGAAAUAACGAACAUUUUUUGAAUUCAAGAAAUGUUUUGGAAUUUGGUGAACAUUUUUUAAUUCUGUCAGCAUUUAUCAUUUCACGAACAUUUUUUUCAAAUCAUCAACAAUUUUUUGAAUUCAUGUACAUUUCACAAGUUGUAGCUAUAUUGAAAUCCCGAAUUAGUCUUACAAUGGAAAACAAUUUAAAAAAAGCAAAAAAAAGAUGCUUCGGCUUUCCCUACCCACACAUGGGCUAGCCCAUAAGGCGGCGCGGGGGAGCGGGGGUUACGCGCUCCAUCGUUCGUUGGCGCAUACAGCGCUAAAUGGGAGGUCUCGAUGUAGCAUCUCAUUGAAUCCCGGACAUGGUCCAACCAUCUCUUCAAACCGAAAGCUGCCCAUAUGGUUCAUCAUCCUGGCGUCUGAAAUACUUUUGGAAAGACAAUUAUGGUUAGUUUUCGGAUAAGUACUCUCGAUAAUCUACAAAUAGGAGAUGUUUUAUUGUAUUUUGAUAACUUUUGGAUAGACAAUCAUUACUAUUAAUAUCAUCCUUCAUAUCUAGAUAAAGUAAGACAAUCUAUAAAUAGAAGAUUUUUAUUCUGUUUUGAUUAAAUUUGGAUAGACAAUUAUUAUUAUUAGUAUUAGCCUUCGUAUCUAGAUAAAUAUAAGGCAAUCUAUAAAUAGAAGUUUUUUUUCUGUUUUGACUACGUUUGGAUAAACAAUUAUUAUUAUUAGUAUCAUCCUUCAUAUCUAAAUAAAUAGAAGACAAUCUACGAAUAGAAGAAUUUUCAUUCUGUAGAAAAUUAUUAUUAUUAGUUCAGGAUUAAUACAUUUGAAAUGCCAUGUGAUAAAUGUGGUAAACGAUCGAUCCACACAUGAGGAAUAUAUCUAGACAUGGUUUAGUGUUAGAUACGUAAAUACCUUCGUAUUUAAUAAAUCUAAGCCAAUUUUUUGGGACGGAGGUAACAUAUAAAGAAGGGUCUCGCACUCAUGGGCAGAGCAGCACGGAGAGCAAAGUUGGCUUCCCUACGCAACGAUAACAAGGGUAGCUACCUCGCAAACCUGUGUGCACUCUGCAAGCAGUAGUCUCCAUAAUGUUGGCUUGCUGCUGCUUUGUUGUGUCCCAGCUGCUCAUCGUAAUAACGCUCAUAUACCUUGUCAUUACCAAGAGCAAGGUCUGAUGUGGCACGUGCUCAUCAGCGAUGGUGCCGCUUCCACUUCCGCCGGGGCCAUGGCUGUGGCCAGUGGUGGGUAGCCUGCCCGAGAUGGUGGUCAACAAGCCAGCGUUCCGUUGGAUCCAUCGCGUGAUGAAGGAUAUGGGCACCGACAUCGCCUACUUCCGCCUUGGCGGCGUCCACGUGGUCCCGAUCACAUGUCCCAAGAUCACAAGGGAGGUGCUCAAGAAGCAGGACAAAAACUUCUCAUCCCGCCCACUCACCUUCGCCUCCAGCGCCAUCAGCAGCGGGUACAAGGACGUCGUGCUCUCGCCGUUCGGCGACCAGUGGAUGAAGAUGUGCAAGGUGCUCACCUCUGAGAUCAUCUGCCCCUCCCGUCACAAAUGGCUCCAUGACAAGCGCGCCGACGAAGCUAACAACUUGACGCGCUACAUCUACAACCUCACCGCCGGGGAGUUGUCAUCUUCAACGUCGGGACUAGCCAACGUCAAUUUCAGGCACGUCGCGCGGCAUUACUGCGGCAACGUCAUCCGCCGGCUUGUCUUUGGCCAACGGUACUUCGGAGAGCCUCAGCCGAACGGCGGGCCGGGGCCAAUGGAGGUGGAGCACAUGGACGCUUCCUUCGCCCUCCUAGGGUUCACCUUCGCGUUCUGCGUCAGCGACUACCUCCCGUGUCUACUUGGCCUAGAUCUCGACGGCCACGAGAAAAUUAUUAAGGAGGCCAACACAAAAGUGGAUAGACUGCACGACGUGGUCAUCGAAGAGCGUUGGAGGCAGUGGAACAGCAGCGAGAGGCAGGACGGGGUCCAGGACUUCCUUGACGUUCUCAUCACGCUCGCCGACGGUGACGGCAAGCCGUUGCUCAACAUCGAUGAGGUCAAAGCACAAUAUAAGGUAAGCAAAUUAUUAAUUAAUGAGAAAUUUUAAGAUGGUUCAAGGGCCUAGAUUGAAUUUAGUGACCAAUUGCCUCAUAGUCCUACAAGGUACUAAUACGUCAUCCAUGACAAAAGGUAAUAGCUCACACUAUUAAAUACUAGAUCUUAUACCGUAUUUCGCAGGUGUUAGAAAAUGGAAACAAUAGAAUAAGAAAUUAUGAAUUAAUAGUUUAAACAUAGCAUUAUUGUAAUUUUCUACCAUUUUGAUGUGAUUUCAACUUGAAUUGUAUUUAAAUUUCCAAUUAUUCAAUGUAAUCUCUCUUUAUGCAAAGGUAUAGAUUGUAAUAACUUACAUUUAUCUCCAUGGAAUGCAUGCAGGGCAUAAUAUUAGCGGCCAUAGAUAACCCGUCAAACGCAGUGGAGUGGGCGCUGGCGGAGAUGGUGAACAACCUAGAAUUGCUGGCCAAGGCAGUGGAGGAGAUGGACCGGGUGGUCGGUCGCGAGCGACCGGUGCAAGAGUCAGACAUCAUGCAGCUCAACUAUCUCAAGGCGUGCAUACGUGAGGCAUUUCGCCUCCACCCAAUCGCUCCCUUCAACCUGCCGCACAUCGCGAUUGCAGACACCAUUGUUGCGGGCUACCGUGUGCCCAAGGGUAGCAACGUCAUCCUCAGCCGGCUGGCCCUGGGCCGGAACCCCACCGUCUGGGAUGAACUGCUCCGCUCCAAGCCAGAGCGCCAUAUGGGAGACAACAUCAAUGUGGUGCUCUUUGGCAGGCUCCUGCAUGGCUUCACCUGGACCAAACCGGCUGGGGUGUCGGCCAUCAAUCUCAGCGGGUCCAAGCACGACCUCUUCGUAGAGAAGCCGCUAGUGCUACAUGCUGAGCCACGUCUUCCAGUGCACCUCUACCCUCUCAUGCAUUGUUGAGCAAAUAACGAGCUAUGAAUCACCGAUAUGGCGAGUAUGCUAGCUAUUUUUUUAUGAAUCUAUACUUACUAAUAAAGGAAGGAAAUAUUCUUUUUUCGUCUCGCUUUGUUUCGUUCCACUUCGAUUGAUUUUCACAUAUGCUAGCUAUUUUGGUUUUGUCUGUUUCACGUACGAGCGAGCCGGUUUCUUUCAUGCGCCGAUGGAUCGUCCUAGGCUUGUCCAAAGCAUUGGAACAGUACGUGAUAGCCAAACAACCACCCAUCUAGUAUUAAUUUUGGACAAAUAGAGAUUAAAUGUAUACAAGAUGAUGCUCUUAAUAUCACCAACGAAGGAUGAAAGUAGGUCGGCGCAUAUAGGGCAACUCUAUUUGAGUUGUUUCUUCCGGCCCAAGUCCCAGGCGGGGUAACAGAGCAGCCUAUAAUAGUCUUUCUAUUUUGGUUCAUCAAUUAAAUAGUACCACAUAGUUUUCUUACUUUUAAUCCUACAAGUUUAUAUACGGUAGCAAAUUGCCAUGGGAAUCAAUAAGCAGCCUAAAAAACAUUAAAAAAAACUCAGAGAGUGAGGUAUGCAAUGAGGACGCUGCUACCUCUUGAGCACUUCGUUGGCUUUCCCUUGAAGAGGAAUGGGUGAUGCAGCAAAGUAGCGUAAGUAUUUCCCUCAGUUUUUGAGAACCAAGGUAUCAAUCCAGUAGGAGGCUACGCGCGAGUCUCUCACACCUACACAAAACAAAUAAAUCCUCGCAACCAACGUGAUAAGGGGUUGUCAAUCCCUACACGGUCACUUACGAGAGUGAGAUCUUAUAGAUAUGAUAGGAUAAUAUUUUUGGUAUUUUUAUGAUAAAGACGCGAAGUAAAAUAAAAGCAAAGGAAAUAACUAAGUGUUGGAAGAUUAAUAUGAUGAAGAUAGACCCAGGGGCCAUAGGUUUCACUAGUGGCUUCUCUCAAGAGCAUAAGUAUUUUACGGUGGGUGAACAAAUUAUUGUUGAGCAAUUGACUGAACUGAGCAUAGUUAUGAGAAUAUCUAGGUAUGAUCAUGUAUAUAGGCAUCACGUCCGAAACAAGUAGACCGACUCCUGCCUGCAUCUACUACUAUUACUCCACACAUCGACCGCUAUCCAGCAUGCAUCUAGAGUAUUAAGUUCAUAAGAACAGAGUAACGCCUUAAGCAAGAUGACAUGAUGUAGAGGGAUAAAUUCAUGCAAUAUGAUAAAAAAAACCACCUUGUUAUCCUCGAUGACAACAAUACAAUACGUCCCUUGCUGCCCCUACUGUCACUGGGAAAGGACACCACAAGAUUGAACCCAAAGCUAAGCACUUCUCCCAUUGCAAGAAAGAUCAAUCUAGUAGGCCAAACCAAACUGAUAAUUCGAAGAGACUUGCAAAGAUAACCAAUCAUACAUAAAAGAAUUCAAAAUAUUCAAAUAUUGUUCAUAGAUCAACUUGAUCAUAAACCCACAAUUCAUCGGUCUCAACAAACACACGGCAAAAGAAGAUUACGACAAAUAGAUCUCCACGAGAGAGGGGGAGAACAUUGUAUUGAGAUCCAAAAGGAGAGAGGAAGCCAUCCAGCUACUAACUAUGGACCCGAAGGUCUGAGGUAAACUACUCACACUUCAUCGGAGAGGCUAUGGUGUUGAUGUAGAAGCCCUUCGUGAUGGAUGCCCCCUUCGGCGGAGCUCCGGAACAGGCCCCAAGAUGGGAUCUCGUGGGUACAGAAGGUUGCAGCGGUGGAAUUAGGUUUUUGGUUUCGUAUCUGAUCGUUUGGGGUGCGUGGGUAUAUAUAGGAGGAAGAAGUACGUCGGUGGAGCAACGUGGGGCCCACGAGGGUGGAGGGCGCGCCCCCGUACCUCGUGGCUUCCUGGAAGCUUCUCUUACAUAGGGUCCAACUCUCCUGGAUCAUGUUCAUUCCGAAAAUCACGUUCCCGAAGGUUUCAUUCCGUUCGGACUCCGUUUGAUAUUCUUUUUCUGCGAAACUCUGAAAUAGGCAAAAAACAGCAAUUCUGGGCUGGGCGUCCGGUUAAUAGGUUAGUCCCAAAAAUAAUAUAGAAGUGAAUAAUAAAGCCCAAUAAUGUCCAAAACAGAAGAUAAUAUAGCAUGGAGCAAUCAAAAAUUAUAGAUACGUUGGAGACGUAUCAAGCAUCCCCAAGCUUAAUUCCUGCUCGUCCUCGAGUAGGUAAAUGAUAAAAACAGAAUUUUUGAUGCGGAGUGAUACUAGGCAUAAUUUCAAUGUAACUUUUCUUAAUUGUGGUAUGAAUAUUCAGAUCCGAAAGAUUCAAGAUAAAAGUUCAUAUUGACAUAAAAAUAAUAAUACUUCAAGCAUACUAACUAAGCAAUUAUGUCCUCUCAAAAUAACAUGGCCAAAGGAAGUUCAUCCCUACAAAAUCAUAUUGUUUAGUCAUGCUCCAUUUUCGUCACACAGGAAUGCUCGCAUCAUGCACAACCCCGAUGACAAGCCAAGCAAUUGUUUCAUACUUUAGUAAUCUCAAACUUUAUAAACCUUCACGCAAUACAUGAGCGCGAGCCAUGGACAUAGCACUAUGGGUGGAAUAGAAUAUGAUGAUGGGGGUUAUGUGGAGAAGACAAAAAAGGAGAAAGUCUCACAUCAACGAGGCUAAUCAAUGAGCUAUGGAGAUGCCCAUCGAUUGAUGUUAAUGCAAGGAGUAGGGAUUGCCAUGCAAUGGAUGCACUAGAGCUAUAAAUAUAUGAAAGCUCAACAAAAGAAACUAAGUGGGUGUGCAUCCAACUUGCUUGCUCACGAAGACCUAGGGCACUUGAGCAGGCCCAUUGUUGGAAUAUACAAGCCAAGUUCUAUAAUGAAAAAUUCCCACUAGUAUAUGAAAGUGACAAAACAAGAGACUCUCUAUCAUGAACAUUAUGGUGCUACUUUGAAGCACAAGUGUGGUAAAGGAUAGUAACAUUGUCCCUUCUCUCUUUUUCUCUCAUUUUUUGGGCCUUCUCUUUUUUUAUGGCCUUUCUCUCUCUUUUUUUUAUUCCUCACUUGGGACAAUGCUCUAGAAAAUGAUGAUCAUCACACUUCUAUUUAUUUACAACUCAAUGAUUACAACUCGAUACUAGAACAAGGUAUGACUCUAUAUGAAUGCCCCCGGCGGUGUACCGGGAUAUGCAAUGAACCAAGAGUGACAUGUAUGAAAGAAUUAUGAACGGUGGCUUUGCCACAAAUACUAUGUCAACUACAUGAUCGUGCUAAGCAAUAUGACAAUGAUGAACGUGUCAUGAUAAACGGAAUGGUGGAAAGUUGCAUGGCAAUAUAUCUCGGAAUGGCAUGGAAAUGCCAUAAUAGGUAGGUAUGGUGGCUGUUUUGAGGAAGAUAUAAGGAGGUUUAUGUGUGAAAGAGCGUAUCAUAUCACGGGGUUUGGAUGCACCGGCGAAGUUUGCACCAACUCUCAAUGUGAGAAAGGGCAAUGCACGGUACCGAAGAGGCUAGAAAUGAUGGAAGGGUGAGAGUGUGUAUAAUCCAUGGACUCAACAUUAGUCAUAAAGAACUCACAUACUUAUUGCAAAAAUCUACAAGUCAUCAAAAACCAAACACUACGCGCAUGCUCCUAGGGGGAUAGAUUGGUAGGAAAAGACCAUCGCUUGUCCCCGACCGCCACUCAUAAGGAGGACAAUCAAAGAACACCUCAUGUUUCAAAUUUGUUACAUAAUGUUUACCAUACGUGCAUGCUACGGGACUUGCAACCUUCAACACAAGUAUUUCUCAAAUUCACAACUACUCAACUAGCACGACUUUAAUAUCACUACCUCCAUAUCUCAAAACAAUCAUCAAGUAUCAAACUUCUCUUAGUAUUCAACACACUCAUAAGAAAGUUUUUACAAAUCUUGAAUACCUAGCAUAUUAGGAUUAUUUAAGCAAAUUACCAUGCUAUUUAAGACUCUCAAAAUAAUCUAAGUGAAGCAUGAGAGAUCAAUAGUUUCUAUAAACACUACAAAAAAAUACACUUUCGUGAUGAUACGUGUUUGUCACAGUAGGUCACGUUUUUUGUCAUGCAUGUACAUCCAUGAUGAUUUUAUGACAGAAUCAAGAUAGUCAUACCUGUGCUGUCGUAGAAGUGUUCCGUGACAUUACCAAAAUUAUCAUCACGGAAGUGUCCACUUCCAUGACGAUAAAUCGCGCGUCACAGAAGUGCCUUCGUCAAGGGUGACCGACACGUGGCAUCCACCGUAACGGAACGCCGUUAAGCUAUCGGGUCGGGUUUUGGACCCGAUAACCCGUUAACAGCCCCAACCAAUGGGGAUUUUCCACGUGUAAAAUCAUCAUUGGCUGGAGGAAACACGUGUCGGCUCACCGUUGGGACAGAUGUCAUCCACUCAUUGGACCGAAGGCGCCUAUGAUACGGCGACACGUGGCACGGCCCAACAGAGGCCCAUUCCUGUGAAAAGGCCGGCCCGUUUGACUUGGUCAAAAGGUGGCGGGCCGGCCCACGGAAAGCCUGUUAACGGCAUGUUCGCAUAUAGCCCAUUUACAGCCCGCUAACCCAGGGCCCAUUACGCCCUAUCCGAAUUAGGCCCAGUAGCGUCAUCUGGGCCGUCCAAUAUGAUUCAGCCCGUUUUAACUUCCGGCCCAUAUGUGGCCCAUGACUUCUUUCGGCCCAUAUGAGGACCUUUGUAACUCUUGGCCCAUUAACGGCCCGUGGUGAAACUGGCCCGUAAUGAACAGUGUAUCACUUUAUACCCAUUAACGGCCCGUUAUUCCAUUAGGUCGUUUCCAGCCCAAGUUAUCUUUCAGCCUUCUUAGGGCCCAUUGAUUCUUGGGCUCAUUUGCAGCAUUUGGUUACAUACGGCCCGUUACUGUCAUUUUCUGCUUGUGGGCCAAAUUCAGCCCGUCGUUACAGUCGGCCCGUUUGCGGACCGUUAAUACGUUGGGCCGUUUUCAUGUCAAAAAAACCCAUUGGGUUGUUUUCAUAGAGUUAUCAAAUACGGCCUAUUAACGGCCUGUUAUGGUCCAUGAAUAGUACGGCCCAUGAUUGGCGAAAUGAUGAUACGCCCCAUAGAAGGCCCAUGGAUAGUACGGCCCGUAGAAAGCCCAUGGAUCAUACAGCCCGUAGAAGGCCCAUGGACCCUAAGGCCCGUAUAGAAGGCCGAUGGAUCCUACGGCCGGACGAAGGCCCAUGGAUCAUACGGCCUGCAGGAGGCCCAUGGUUACAACAGUCUGUGUGUUGCCAUGAUUAUUUUGGCCUAGUUACCAAAAAUAGGCUAUUGUGGCCACUAGAAAAAAACAGAAAAAGAACUGCAGUGACUACAAGCAAACAACUAAACAAGACAAUAAGGAAAUAAAUAAGCAAGCAAUUAACGCUAGCCUAUUACCGCUAUUACACAUAUUACAUCCACUAGGCAUCAAAGUUCGCCACCAGUGCAAAUAUAGGGAACAAAGCAGCACAUUACAUACACUGGCCGUCAAAAUUGGCCACCAGUGCAAAUAAACAUGGCAGCAAAACAAGAGCAUAACUGAAACAACUUCAGAAGAGAUUAAGAAACAUUAUCCUGGGUAUCCACCAUGCUGGCAAUAAGCUUAGCAAGCUGAUUAGCUUUGUCCUGUUUGGCGCUAAAAUCCUCCAACGCUUGCUGUUGCACCAGAAAGUAUGCAUCUGAAUGCUCCAGGGACUUCCGCAGUCCUUCCGCUUCUUGUCGCAGCACAGCUGAUCGAUGUCUUUCAGCUUGUAGUUGAGACUCAAGAAACCGAACUGAUUCAGACAGUGAGUGUGAAUAGCUUGUGCAAGCGGUAGUGGCCAGUAACUCGAACACUAAACCAAGACAGGACUUUGGGGUUGUCUCGCUGUCUUCAAGAUAGUCUUCCUUAGCUGUUUUAUCAGCUUUGUUGGAGACCAACAAGGAUGUGUCACUAUCCUGAACCUUAUCUGCAUUACUUCCUUUACCAUUGCUUAAUAAGGCACUCUUCCCCAAUAUUCUGUCAGCAUUCUAAAAGAAGAAACAAGCAGACACAUAACAAGUUUAGCAUGUACUAGUAUAUGAAACUCAUUUCGGUGAACCAGUUCAUUAGUAAGGUGGACAGGAUUAAACUACCAAGUCUUCUAUUGCCAAGUACUAGUACAAAAUAAAAGCAUCAAACAAACAUAUAUCUAUGUCCUAUGGUCACUGCAUUGUCUUGCCAAAUCAAAAUAGAGACACGGUUCAAAUCAUAUCAGUUCAAGACAAAGCAGCAGUGAAAGAAUACAAAGCGUGGGAAACUACACGGCACAACGAGAUUUCAGAUGGGUACCACGGGUCUACAUGUACAACAACACUAUUGGCUCUGUUGUGAUGCUAGUAAUGUGCAUGAUAUGAAAGUCAAUUGUAUACACAAUUGAAAUUGAAAUCAAUAGAGCUAUUGAUAAGAGCAAACCUGUUAAAGAAACAUGCGUGAACAUACCUGCUGUGCCAUUGGAGUUUCGAUUGGAUCCUUCAAUUUCAAAAUAAGUUUGUAUGAGUAAAUACAGUGAUACAAGAGCAAAGCAAUCAUAGUUAAAAAAGGCGCGCCUAAGCGAGCGCUUAAGCGCGCCUAGGCUCUAGGCGUUGGCAAAACGCAUUGCGCAUAACUACACAUAAUCUGUGCAUAAGCAUGCGCUUUGGUCAGUAAAGCGCAGGGAGGUGGAAAAAUGCACAAUUAACGCCUAGCGCUUUUUUGAACUAUGAUAGCAAUGGAAUCUUAAAUUAGAACAGUUGUUCUUCAGGUUUAGGCACUUGUUCUACAUGAACAGAGUACAGUAAGACGCAAGAAUAUAAUACUUAAAAUAGAAAAUGAGCUCAUAGACCUUACCACAUUCUUGGUUCGGGACCAGUACAGAGCAAGGCGUUCCCAGUCAUCGUCCAGUAAAUGUGUCUUAGGAGAACGUAAGGGAAUUUGAUGAGUUUCUUUGCCGGUGAAGUACGUUUUCUUCAGGUAAUUCUGAUACUGCCACCAAGCAUUCUUGAAGAUAGCAGAGGUAUUAGCACAGGUUACCUCAUCCUGAGUUUCCAAAUCGGUCCUUCUCUAUAGAGAAAAUGGGAAAAUUUGCUGUAUUAUAACCAUCAUGGAGGUAGGAUGUAUGGGACGAAGCAAAGUAAUUGCCAUGAAUAACAUUACUUACACAUAACUCCUGGACAAACACCUGCAACUGGCAUUUUCCUUCAUCUUCAGUAUAAUAUUUCCAAGAUGGGAAGAUACACACAUACGAUUUAACAACAUCAAAUGCAAUAGAUGCUAAACUACGGCUAGCUGGUUGUGCUUCCUCCACAGGAAUAGGCAUACUAACUGGUGGAGUUGGGGUUCGCCGUGAUAGUACUGGCCCUUUGGGCACUGGAGCUGCCUUACUAACUGCUCUUGUUUGGGAGCUCUGUGGUGGAGAUGGUGCUGUGUCAACAGGAACUGGGUUACUAUCGGCUGGGGUUGGGGUUAGAUUGGGUGAAGCUGGUUCUCUGUCCAUCGCAGUAGGGGUACAAUCUACGAGAGUUUGGGUUAUGUGUGGUAGGGCUGGUUCUUGUGCAUGUACAACCGGGGUGCUAUCUCCACCAAGAGGUAGCACUAUUUUAUUUGAAGACCGUGUUUUUAGUCCGCUAGAUACUGGCAUCACCCGCUCCAAUUCAAAUGGCUGAUAAACAGGAAACAUAGUUGAAUGCAUAGACAUUGUAUGAGAGACAGAUGCAAUAUAUAGUGUGGAGAAAACAGGGCAUGAAAUAGUUGACAUGUAUAUUGUUUAACUAAAACGGAUAGCAUGACAUAAUUUCACAUAUAUGAUGUCUAUCUAAACUGGAUGGCAUAGCAUAACAUAAUUCAAAGAUAUGAUGAAUAACUAAACAGGAUCGCAUGACAUAAUUCACCUACAUGUUAUCUAAGUAAUCAGGAUCACAUCAUUUAAUUCACAUAUGUGAUUUAUAUGCUAAACAGAGGGCAUUCGAUGUGAUGUCUGAACUAAGAACAUGGUGUUCAAUAUUGUGUAUAUGAUGUCUAAACUAUGCAAUGCAAGACACCGUAUGCAUGAUAUGAGCAGUAUAACCGUGCCAAGUUAGAGCAUACACCUCAGUGGGGGAAUAGGACUGGUCAUCUGUAUCUGAAUCCAUCUCUGAGGAGCUAUCGGGACCCAACAAGAGAUCUGCUUCGACAGGUAGCACUGUCUGCUCUGAAGGCCUUGUUUUCACUCCAGAUUUUUCCAUCUCCCACCCAAAUGGCUGAUUCACAGGAAGAGUAGUUUAAUGUACAAACAUUGUCAACAAAUGGAAAUGUAAUGAAGAAAAGGAUGGGCAAGAUAUCAUUCAAAUAUAUGAUGCCUGGUUAAACAGGAUGGCAUUGCACAUUUCACAUAUAUUAUGGCUGGCUAAAAGACAUGAGACUGCAUAAUUCCCAUAUAUGAUAUAGAAACUAAACAGGUGGCAUUACAGAACAUGUCUAAACUAAGCAAAUGACAUAUAUGAUGUCAAAAGUAGGCACUGCAAGGCAACAUAUGCAUGAUAUGACUAACAUCAUCAUGCCAAGGUAGAGCAAACACCUUGGGGGUAAAUAGGAGUGGUCAGCGGCGUCUGAAUCCGCCUCAGAACAGAUAUCUUCCUCUGGAUUACAAUCUGGAGAGGGGUGGGGAGGGUCUGCCAUUGAACCCACCAUGGAGCGAUGUUUGCAUGACAUUGUAUUGCCGCGCAAAACUCUUCUCUUUUUCUCUACAUGUUCAGCAUGACUGUGUACAAUAUCUGACAUGCAUACGAAAAAAUAUGGUGAAAUUAUGUAAGGAGAGCAUGCAGAAAUUUAGAGUGAUGGUAACAACCAGUGGAUCGACGUUUUUCCGUUGAACCAAAAUAGCCCUAAUGGAUCGACGUGAAUGUAUAGUAAUAAGUGAUGCAACAAGUGUACAACCUCUUUGCCGUAGCCGUGUCGACCUCAACAUCAUUGGGUUGGUCGCUGAAGCAGUUGAGGCAGAGGUGGCUGUCGGAGGUGUGGAGGAAGAUCUGAGGAAUCUGUAGACGGCGUCCAGGGCACUGCUCUGUUGUGAUGGAUCGUUCUGUCGUUGGAGCAGCUCCGGUGAGCCGUAAGACGUCAAGGCUGAAGCAGCACAAGACAGACAUCGUCAAUCUCAAGUGGGAUUCUAAUAGCAUCUCCAAUAGAUGAUGUAAAAUGGAUGUAAAAUUAACAUCACCAAAAACCACCUGACUACAACAGAUGAGGUAAAAACUGUUGACUCUGAACUUAACUGUCGAAACUGAAAUUUACUGUGGAAUCUGAAUGCUACUGUCGAAACUGAACGCAAUGGUAGCAGAGAGGCACUUGACAUGUAGUUUAGGGAGGGCAUGCGGUUCAUCUUCAACCUGCACCCCCCUGAGCCGCCAGCCACCACCGGCCGAACCACCGGCCCCAGCGCCGCCUCGCCGCCCCGAAACAACUCGCCACCGCCGCCCCGGCCAGCCCUCUAGGCCCCCCCACCCUGAACCCUAAGAUAGAUAGUGGGGUACCUCUUCGGCGAGCCCCCGUCCCCACUGCGGGUNNNNNNNNNNNNNNNNNNNNNNNNNNNNNNNNNNNNNNNNNNNNNNNNNNNNNNNNNNNNNNNNNNNNNNNNNNNNNNNNNNNNNNNNNNNNNNNNNNNNNNNNNNNNNNNNNNNNNNNNNNNNNNNNNNNNNNNNNNNNNNNNNNNNNNNNNNNNNNNNNNNNNNNNNNNNNNNNNNNNNNNNNNNNNNNNNNNNNNNNNNNNNNNNNNNNNNNNNNNAGUCAAUUCAGUUGACUGAAGUGUGGCUUAAUCGGAGCAGAGCAGCAGCACGAGCGAGGGGGAGAGCAGCAGCAGCAGCUGGGCGAGCGAGCGAUCGAGCGAGAGCCGGAGCAACAGCAGCAGCGCGAGCGAGCGAGAGCCGGAGCAGUAGCAGCAGAUCCGGCUGGUAUGGACGCUGCCGUCGAAGGGGCCUUGCACUGGGGGAGAGCCGCCGUGGAGAUGUCGCCCGCGGCGCCGGCUUCAAGGUAGCCGCUCCAUGGGGGUGCGGGAUGGAGCACCGUUGGCACCGGGAGGUCGAGUUCAGGAGAAGGUGUGAUGCGAUGAGUGUACAACCUCUAUGGUGGCGCCGAGUAGGCCUCGGCUUCGUCCGAGGAGUCGGUGAGGAUGCUGCGGUUCUGGUGGAGCAGGUUAAGGCGGCGCUGUGGGGAUGGAGCAGCCGCGAUAGACGAGGCGAUCGUCAGAGCAGCUCCUUGGAGGUGGAGGACGGGCCGGCUGAACCGGCGGGAUGGCGAGAUGGACGACGGAUCCUCAUCCGGGGAGGUGGACGAGGGACGUCGAGCUGUUGCGGUGGACGACGUCAUCGGGGAAGAGGCUCCGGCUGUGCAGCGGUGACGUGGCGGACGGAGGAGGGUGGGGUUUCGUGGCUGGAGCGGAGAGGUUAUGGUGGCCUGGGAUUUCGAAUGGCAAAAAGGGGGCGAUGGGAGGGGGUGAAGCAUGACUUAGGGACGCGCUUGUCCAAAAUGUAGGGUGUGUUACAAAAGUACCCCCCACCGAUUUGAACUAGCGGCCCUUUCAGCUCAGGGUUAGAAGGGGGAUUUCGCGUGUCGGGAUUUGGCAGCUGGAGGGAGUUUUCGCGCGCGUUGUAAUUUCGGGAUAGCAAGGUGCGGGUUGUGAAGGCGCCAGUUUUGGGAGCACGAUAUCUGAAUUUUCGGGAUAUAAAAAGACGCAGGUUGAAUUUUAGGGACAAGCCUAACAUGCAGUAAUAUUGUACUUGUACGUACCAAAUCAAUUCGCACUUCCCUCAACCAAAAAGAAAACAAAAAAAAAUAAAACUAUUCACACCGCACAAAGAGAGAGUCUUGCCCCGUUUUACUAUACAAAUGCUAUUCAAAGCUACUCCCUCCUUCCAUCUAUAUAGGGCCUAAUGUGUUUUUCGAUGCUAACUUUAACCAAAUAUUAGAGCAAUGAUAUAUGACAUGCAACUUACACAAAGCACACCGUUAAAUUCGUCUGUGAAAGGUUCUUUCAAUGAUAUAAUUUUCACAUUGUGCAUGUCAUGUACUAUUAAUCUUGUCAAUAGUCAAAGGCGGUCUUAAAAAUCUCAUUACGCCCUAUAUAGAUGGAAGGAGGGAGUAUGAAUCCAUGUUAUGUCCGAUUAAAUUUUUUCGCUUGCUGUAUAAUGCAUGUAACCUACUCAUACCAACAUUUUAGUGCAUUCCAAAUGUCUAUACUACCGCUGCAAUUCGAACUAAAUUUGAAUUCGUUUCUCUAUUUCAAUAAGAAUCUACAAUCAUGAUUGUUGCCAACUUCAACCAUCAUAGUUUCCUUGCUAUCCGCCAGAUAUAAAUCGGACGGCCUAUAAUGCAGGAUGGCAGGCACACCAUCGUCAAAACUCCGUUUUUUAUAAGAGUAGAGAUAAAAUAUAUUAAAUGUAGUAUAACAUGUUCAUAACCACACCAUGUGUAUCACCGUUAUAUAUAUUCACACAUGCGUCGGUUUGAAACACUAUGAUAAAUUCUUCAAAUAUCUGAAUUCGCUUUUUAUAAUGAAGUAUAUAUGAUCUCUAUUCGUCUUUUACACCCACACAACCCUCUUAUCUUUGUCGCUAGCGCUAACUUUCUCUUGUGCAUGCACACGCCCGCAUCCCUCUCACCCUCCCUCAGCAUUCUCUAGCUCCAUCGCGCAAAUUCGUCUUUUCACUUUAGGUCGUUCACCCACGGUGUGUGUAGGCCCCCCAGCUCCUUCUUUACGGCACACAUCGAUCGAUAUGCCUCUCUAGCCAGGUGUGCCUAGCACAAACACAAGCUUCCCCUCUUCUCUUGUCACCGUCCAUGCCUCACUCCCACCACUCUUUUCAUCGUUCUCGUACUCGCACACUCCUCCCCCCUCGAUAUAGUAUGCCUCUCGUACCACCUCCUACAUGCAUCCCUCUCUCUCUCUAUCCUUCUCCUCGUGCCUCAUUUGCUUCUAACACACACAUGCAUGUAUACCGAUCGAUCUCCCAACAUAUACCUAGAUCGACUUUAACUACCCCCCCAUCGAUCGACGUACCUCACAAGUUAUGUCUCUCCUUUCUCUAACAAAGGGCGAUUGAUCUUCCUAUGUAGUUACGUCUGCUUACCACAGCCACAUCGUCCCCCCUCAUCAUUCAUGCAUGCCUCCUGACCCGUCUCUCACACGCACGUGCACAGACAACAAGCAGCCAUCUCCUCUCUUAUUGAUAUUGCGGGCGUGCCCUCCGUUUGUCUAGCAAGCCUAUCCCACCAUUUGUUAGAAGCAACUCCACUACCACCCCCUCCAACACUCUAGCUCUGUCUCUCUCCCAACCUUAUUCCUCUCCUGCACAUAUGCAUGGAUGUCGAUCGAUCUCCCUUAAUACAUGAGGCAGAUCGAUCUCCUUAAUACAUGAGAUAGGCCUCUCUCCUCCUCCACACAUAUACCAGCCAUUGUACCUCUAUAGUUAAUUGGGCCUCCCUCUUCUCCCACCACACACCGAUAGUCGAGCGCUGCAGGUAGGUAUCCAUGCCACAGAGACAAACUGCACAUGUCCCAUCUCACGUUCCAGUAGGCCAGCCACUCUAUAUCUUUGACGUGGGCACACACAAAUUCGAUGGCACUCUUUAUCAAUCGCGCGCGCACACACACACAUCAUCCCUCUCUUCGAUUCUAUGGACACCUCAAGCCGAUGAUACCUCCACUCUCUUCUCGUGGAUCGCCCCCUCUAUAUAUAUGUUAUAUCCAGGACUCUAUUUCACACACAUUGCAUCUGUUACAUUUUUUGAUUGACCCCCCCCCCUAAAAAAACUCUCAAGAACCCACACACUAUAUCUCUCUAGGUUUGUAUCUCUCUCACACAACCCCAUGUAGGUGGUGUACGUAUACAAGAAGAGAAUAGGUGCACCGUGCAUGUACUCACGCUUCGUGCCCAGCCACACCCGCGCGGGUACACGAUGGAGCUCAUUUCUUUACGAAAUGGCAGCCCACGUGCUAAUUUGAACGCCUGUAGCGGUUGUUUACCUAGGGAGGUCGUGUACCACGCGUGCACGAAACAAAGUUCGACUUGACGCGUUGCCGCGUUAUUUUUAAAUAAAGUUAUAGCGCUCAAUGGCACGUACACAGAAUAUAAAACGAUUUUUAUGGAGAAAAAGGUAGUCCGCUCACUAUAUACAAUGGAGCCUACCUGCAUGGUUUGUCGCUCUUCAGAGUAUCUCACACAAGGUUGCGGUGGCCUCUCUCUCUCUCUCACCGUUGGUCACUGAUCCGGCCGCAUCUCGUCCGCCGGGGGAAAGGGAGGAAGUGCAUCGUUUCUCCGUUUGACGGCACCGAGGCAGCACGUCCCGAUCUGCGGUACACGCCGUUCUCUCUGAUCAAGCUCCGGCGCGGCAGGGCCUAUGCCACCUCCUCGCAGAUUCCGCCCGCCGCCGCUCACCUAGUUACAUCCCGACGACCUCCAGGUAUCCCCUCCGGCCUUGCUCCACUGCCCGUCUUCCCACGUCGCUGCAUGUGGAUCUUCCAUAGUUCUUUGCUCAAAACGUAGCUCGUCCGGCGUACUUUCCAUAUUGCAUUCUCGUCCUCACACCGUUUUAGACAAACACAACCGUGUUGUUAUCUUCCCUUAGGACAAGGAAUAUGCUUCUUUUUUGUCGUCGCAUGUGUCAUCAACUGUUAUUGGCCAGUAAUUGUUUCCUUUCUACUCGUUGCUAUUGCGACCUUUUGGUGAACUGCAUAAAUCACUUUUUUCUUAAGAGUGUUUUGUGCAGUUGUACUAAAAUGUCACACGGGCAACGUCUCUACGUUUCAGUGCGACUGCACAAAGGGAGAUUGGUUUUGCUCUAUCCUCCUCAUCCAACUCCGAGCCUAAUCUUCUCCAACUAGUUAGUCUUAAGAGAGACUGCAAAGGUGACCGGCUUCUAUUUGUGUGUUUAUUGUUUCAUCAGCAGUCCUCUAUUAUCGUAAUCACACAUAAUAUCUUUGGAACAGGGACGCUCAGCUCUAUUUUAGUGGAACUGCACAAAAUGAUCGGAAUGUUGCAUGCUCCAGAUAGCUACUUUUUUCCCAACAUGCCUUGUUGAUUUAGACAGAGCUGGGGGGACGUUGCUGCCAAUGAAAGCAUGGAUCAAUUUUAAUUUAACACCUUCUCACAACUCUGUCUUCAGUUGUGAUGUAAUUAUUAGCUCUGAUCUGCUAAUAAUGGACAUGCAAUAGCAAGGAAGUUAGUUUUUUAUUGUUUCCGAAAGAGCAUCGAUGGCAAGACACGCGAAACAAAAGUUGAAAGCUCACACCAUUGUACAAUUUCAUGUCGCUGGAAAAUUAUUUGUAUAGUACGUCAAUUAUGUAAACAAAUGAUGGAAGCUUGAUAGCAUUACCAGAAGCCUCUUCAUCAUCCGGGUCCAUGUGCCAUGCACAAAAUUAUACUCCUUCGUUCCUAAAUAUUUGUCUUUUUACAAAUUUCAAACGGGCAUAUUUUAGAGUGGAGAUUCACUCAUUUUGCUUCGUAUGUGUACUCCCACCGUUCCUAAAUAUUCUAUUCGUCUUUCUAGAGAUUUCAACAAGUGACUACAUACGGAGCAAAAUGAGUGAAUCUACACUCUAAAAUAUGUCUAUAUACAUCCGUAUGUGCCAGUCCAUUUGAAAUCUCUAAAAAGACAAAUAUUUGAGUAGUCACUCGUUGAAAUCUCUAGAAAGACAAAUACUCUGGAGUAUAUUUAAGAACCGAGGGGGUAGUGCACAACCGCAUGGGAGACUCAGCCCGGUUGUUGCGCCGCAUUAAUAGUGAGUAAUGAGCAGUCAAAUCAUAAGCACCACCUUUCCCACUGUAAGUUGCUCUGAAGAAGCAACCAUCAAUACGCUCUUCUUUGAAUCCGCUCAUACUACUCCAUCCGUCACUGUUUAUAGAGCGCGCUUCAGAAAAAAGAAAAAAAAUCUGUGGGACCAAGGCGACUAGCGAUCGGCCUGAAAAAUAGCAUUGGUAGUUAUAGCACGGUGUCUAUUACUAGAGGGAAUAAUGCGUACACACAUGCAUGCAGUGCUUCCACCCCGGGUACACACAUGCAUGCACUUACUCCACUCAGUAGUAGUACAGUACAUGGAGAGAAAAUUGUGGACUUGAUUGCGGUUACCACGCCCUAAUUAAUUGAGCAUUAAACCAAACGCGUCUAAAGUCUCUCUGGUGGUGGAAAUGCAUUGAGAGAAAUGCAUCAUAAUGAAGCGCGCCCUGUAAACUGUGACGGAGGGAGGAGUAGUAUGAAGGUGCAAAACCAAGUACGCGUAUGGCCAGUCGGUCAAUGCACCUCCUCUUGGCAUAUCACAGACAUGUGGGACAGGAGUGUGAGCAAACCGAUCUCAAUUGACGGCAAAGAGCCAACCUGCCGUUCCUUGAGAGAGACGAGGAGCGAGAACACAUAGACGGGCUCGCACUGAGGCCAAGAUAUAUUCGAGCAUGGUUGGUUGAUCGAUAUCAUUCAUUACAUGUUGGGCUGCCGUUUUCCGCCCUUCUCUGGAAUAAACGUGUACUUUAUCAGAGAUAAAAAAAUAAGAGUACAGACGCUCCACCAUGCGGUUCUAGUAGUAGUACUACUCGUACUACUGCGCAUGAUGGUACUCCGCAUGUUGGGUACUACAGUGUAUGCCUCUGACAAUCUGACACCGAAUGGACUGAUGCAUGUCCACCGAGGGUAGGUUGCAUUAGUCAAAGGGCGUAAGCGAGCUUCACCUUGUCCUGCAAGCUUCUCCUCGUUCUGCGAGUUGACGGGACACACCAAAAAGUAGUGCUAGUCCAUACUCCCUCCUUUCCGGUUAAUAUGCCUUAAUAUUUUUUGCAGGUAAAUGAGAGAGCUUUAUUCAUAUAUAAGCAUUCUUAGGACAAUCAGCCAAGACACUGGUCACUAGGAAGCGAGGUACCCCGCAAAAAAAGAAGUAGGAAGCGAUGUGUUUCAUCAAGCCAGCUCUCGGCCACAUUCAAAGUGCAGCAAGCACGGUUCGCACGAAGAUGCGCCGCAAGGUUUGCUGACCUGUUUACAUGCUGAAUAACAAAAAAAGAGGAAAUAUUACCGAGCGCUACUAUUUGUAACAGGAUAUGAGCCAGAAUUAAGCGAGAAUUGUGGCGAGUGUUCCAUGCAAUCAACUUCCAUUAUCACAUGUGAGAACCCUCGAAGAGAACCAAAUGUGUUGAAGAUUGCUUUAUCACAUUUUAAAAUUAUAAUAAGAGUGCAGACGCUCCUCCAUCCGGUUCCUAGUACUAGUAUAGUACGUACCUUUAUAGACUAUAGUAGUAGUACUAGUAAACUUUCGGCUUGGUUGUUCGCCUAUUCGGGAAGUCCAACAAUAAUAGCACUAGUAGUAUAGUGUAUGCUUCUGGCAAUCUGACACCGAAUUAACUGUUGCACGUCCACCGCCUGAGCGAGGGAGAGCUUGCAUUAGUCAAAAGUUUCUCCUUGUCCUGCGAGCCACCGCGCGCAAGCUUCUCCCGUCCUGCAACCUUCUCCUCGUUCGGCAAGUUGACGGGACACAGCAAAGUAAUGCUAGUCCAUACUGCCUCCUCUCCGGUUAAUAUGGCUUAAUUUCAAACGAGAUAAAUACAUUGUCUGUCACUGUAUAUUUGUAAAAAUACGGUCAGUGGACUUCAUAAUACACUCAUUGCGCUCAAUAUAUAUAUAUUUUUUCCGGUGUUUAUACAGUCACUAGAUCACCCUGACUGAGUAUGUGUGUGCAUGCACGUGUAGGUUGAGCACUUGAGCGUGACCGUGUGUGUUCCGUCGUGUGCUCGGACAUGCAUGCAUUAGGGCGUCGCGCGGGUUUUUGCGUCCAUGUGUACGUGUGACUGUUGCAUACACGUAGGGGGAGUACGUGUAGGGGCCACUAAGGAGCAGUCAAAUCACACAGUAAGUUAGUCGGAAGAAGCAACCAUCAUUUCACUCUUGAAUGACGCGUACGCAAUAUAAAAUGGUUGAUAUGGAGAGAAAAAAGAAAACCACUAUAUAUACACUAGCAGGAGCCUAAGCUACAAGCCUGCUUGCUUAGGUUGCUCUCUUCACAAGCAUAGAACGACGGGCCUGAUCCCGCAGCUGGGGGAAGGGAACAAUGUUCUGCGUAGACGCGGUCGACAUCGGCGAGGAUGAAAACCCACUGUCGGUGCGUCCCAAUCGGGGGUCAUCGCGGUAUGGGCCGAUGCCGCGUCCCAACCGCCCUUCUAGCUAUAGCCCGAUGUCCCAGGUAGUCCAUCUUCCUUUUGGAGCCAGCUUGCUCCACUGCCGUAGCUCCAUCUCCAUGUCGAUCUUUCUCUACUUCUACCGGCUUCUACUUGUGAUGAGUUUAUGUCUCAUGAACUAGUGCCAGUACUAUUAUUCUAAUCACACUUCUUCAAUAUCUUUGCCAUUAGGGAUGCUCAGGUCGAUUUUAGUGGAACUGCACAAAAGCAUCGUAUGAUCUGAGGGUGCCAGCCAUCUUUCCUUCGACAAGUUCUACCUGGCCAGGAAAUUAAAUCAUGUUUAGGGUUUAGGGUUUAAGUCGUAGUGACCCCAUCAAUAGUUUUUCUUUCGUACACGCUCUCACAACUUUUUCUUUAGUUGUGAAGUAAAUAUUGGCUAUGAUAUGUGAAUCAUUGAGAUGCAUCAGCAUGCGUGUUAGUUUUCCUUUGUAUUUGAUGGAAUGUUGUAACGGGGCAACCUUGGAAUAGGAAUGAAAAUGGAGUGGAAAGUUUCCGUUUUUCCGGAAAAAAAAUGGAAACGGAGAGAAACCAAUGUUUCGUUUCGUUGGAUUGCGCCAUCGAGCAAAACCAACGUUUAAAUCACGUCUGUCGUGUUCGUGUCGCACCCUCCUCCACGGCUCGACCCCACACGGUCGCUCGGCAUGCCACUCACUGCAAACCGAGUAUACGAUAACUUUCCCGCCUGCUUGUCGAUGGAUCGCGCCAUGGAGUACUAGCACUACUGGAAGAGAUUGACGAGUUGGGGGAGGACAGCUAGCUGUAGCACGGACUCCCAAGAACUUUUUACAUGCAUGUUGUAGCCGGCUAUUGCGACCUUUGAACGCGGAGCAGCCGCAUGCACCCGGAAGCGGCGCGGGCGACGCUCUCUCGGCCGGUGCGCCGCUUCAAUGUCGGCGCCGGUGAGAGGUCGCGUCCGCUCUGGCCGGGCAUGAAUGCGGCACUGACCGUUUCGGGCGGGAAGCACGCGCGGGUGAUGAAGAGGGUUCAGGUUGGUCAGGACCGGCCGUGGCAGCGGUCCGGACGUGCGCAAACAAGAGAUGUUGUACGUUAAUAUUGCUGCGUAUAUAAUUAACAACGUAAAUAAUGUGCCAGUUGGACAAAUAUGAUUGGAGAUGGAGAUGGAAAUGGAAUUUUACGUAAACACGGAUAUGCAUGUCUAUGUGUAUGUGUGUGUGCGCGACGACUCUCACGACCUGGAAGCGGGGGCGUGUUUUUGAUCGAGUUUUCUUUCUUGGUACGUUAGAAAAUCAGUUUGUCUAAUUCACAUCUAAAUGUUAUUUAAGGAUAUCACAUCUAAGCUCCCACAAGUAUAUAAUGUAGCAACAAGAAACAAAAAAAACUAGGAAAAAAUAGACCACAAACAGAGUGGACAUCAACUUAGAUGUGACAUAACUAUGUCACAUCUAGAUGUGUCCUAGACAGACCCUUAAAAAAUUGUCCGCCAGUUUUCGUUUCUUUUUUCCGGGAACGCGCGUAUUCUAUUUAAAACCAUUGCUAUGGAGAGAUUUUUUACUCCAUUAUAGCCUCUUGUUUGAUAGAGUUUCUCGCGUCUCGCUCUCUCACCCUCUCCAUAUAUGUUACAUGCUGGAGGCUCAGCGUUCAUUUGCUAGGGUUUGCUAUAUUCACAGUCUCUCACCCUCUCUUCACCAGAUCUAAACAAGACUGCGUUGGCCUCUUGUCUCUCUCUCCCCCCUCAGAGCUGGUGAAGGAGGCGUCCGUAUCCCGUCGCACCGGGAAGGGGAGGAGGUGCAGCGUUCACUCUAUCGCCUUCGGCGAGGGAGGCAAUCCACUGCCGGCUGCGCUGUUCUCUUUCACCCAGCGCCUGUGCGGGAGGGCCACCGACCCCUUCUUCCUCGCUGUCGUACGUAGUGUGGGCAGAUCCGGUCUCCCGCCGCACGCCUUGCCACAUCCCGACGACCCUAAGGUAUAAGUUUCUUUGAAACCCUCGUUGCUCUAGCUGCAUGUGGAUCUUUUUUGAUCUGUAGUUGAAUCUAGGUCUUGGUUCAAAGAGGAAAGAAGGGUGCGGUGGGCUGGAGCAAGAAUCUAGGACGUGGUUGAAUGAGGAAAGGAGGGGCGGAAAGUAGUAUAGAUUGGCUAUCCAGCCGCUUUGUAGGUCGAAAAGGGAAAAAGGGGGUAACCCAGUACACACAUCUGUAAGGAACCGAUCUCUUUGUUGAAAAGGGAAAGAAACUGGGGGGUCGGGUAGUUUGUGCAGGACUAGAUUUGCUGCCCUCACAUAGGAAGAAGGUUCAAAGAGAACAAAUAUGGGACCAGCGCAUAUAUGCUGCUUGGCUACAUACUCUGCAUCACCCAUUUAUACGUGUGGACGCACAUGGUGCUGGCAUGUCCCAUACAGCUAUUUUGCUGUUGCUAAUCUAAGAAUGCCGCCGGAAAAUUGAAGCAAUGCCAUUGUUAAAAGUAAAUUACAUUUUUUAACGAAUGUUGUUUCAAGAGAAUGUCUGUGUUAAUAUGAAUCAAUGCAACCAUUUUAGAAAUGCUACUGUCCUACUUUGUUUUCCAUCAAAGAUAAGUUAGAUGCUUCUUUCUGUCACCGUUUGUUUCAUCCUCAUUUAUCGGCAAGUAAUUGUUUCCUUUUUGCCUCUGUUAAAACAGGGCUAUCGAUUCAACUUGUUGCUAUUGCGACAUUUUGCUUCGCUACUCGAAACACUUAUGUUUUAAGAGUGUUUUGUGCAGUUCAACUUGAAUGUCACACCGGUGACUUUGCUUAAUUUUGGUGGAACUGCACAAAAGGUGAUCGAGAUUUGUUUCCAGUCUUCGUGGCGAGUUGUUUCAAAUCUUGGUCUCAACCACAUGAUGUGCAGUGUGCUUUGAGAUGUUGUGCUACUUGUUUUGGUACUGUUUUAAAUAAAUGUUGAAUUGAAGGUAUUGUAUUGAUGUCUUUUCCCAUUAAGUAGUGAACAAAAAUGGGACCAACCCAGACAUGAUGCUUGUUUCUUUGUUACAACAAAAUCAGCAUCACCCCCUUUAUAAGCCAGUAAUUGAUGCCACUCUCAGAAUUAACUACUGAAUCUUAUUUCAAAACUGCAACACUUGUUAGGGAUUGGCGGGAUUACCAUUUUUGUGGCCGCAUGUUUCAUCCUCCUUUAUUAGCCAGUAAUUGAUUCCUUUUUUGCCUCUGUUUAAACAGGGAUAUCUAUUCAACUUGUUGCUAUUGCGACAUUUUGCUUCGCUACGCGAAACACUUUCUUGAUUUCAGUGCAACUGCACAAAAUGAGAUUGGAUUUCCUAUUCGUGUUGGCAGAUUCGUAUUUUAUCUUGUCUGUCUCAUGAAAGGUCAGUACAGGUCUUCAUCCACAUGAUUGUGCAGUGUGCUUUGAGAUGUUGUGCUACUUGUAUUGGUACUGUUUUAAAUAAAUGUUGAAUUGAAGCUAUUGUAUUGCUGUCUUUUCCCAUUAAGUAGUGAACAAAAAUGGGACCAACCCAGACAUGAUGCUUGUUGCUUUGUUACAACAAACUCUGCAUCACCCCCUUUAUAAGUAGAUGGAAGCACAUACUGUUGUUGCGCCCACUCUCCCCUGGAACUGUUUAUGCUUUUUGUUAAUCUAAUGCCGCUGGUAAAAUUAAGCAAUGCCACUCUCAGAAUUAAUUAACUACUGAAUCUUAGUUCAAAACUGCAACACUUGUUAGGAAUGGUACUAUCCUGCUUUGUAGUUCUUUCUACAUGUUUAACCAAGGUAUUGUUAAGAUAAUGUCUAUGUUAAAAUGAAUCAGUUGCAUUGUUUUAGGAAUGGUACUUUUCUGCUUUGUCGUUCUUUAUACAUGUUGAAACAAGGCAUUGUUAAGAUAAUGUCUCAGUCAAUAUGAAUGAAUCACACUGAUGGAGAAUUGCUACUCUCCUGCUUUGUUUCCCAUUAAGAUAAAGUAGAUCAGUAGAUGCUUUUCUUCUGGGAGUACAAGUCAUCAACCAUUAUUUCUCAGUAAUUGUUUCCCUUAUACCUAUUGUUGCUUACAGGGAUAUCAAAAUUAAAGCUCGGUUUUAUUCCGACUUCAAUUUUAGUUGAACUGCACAAAAGGAGUCAAUGUGUCCAAGGCAAACUGCUGCAUUACUGGGUCCAGUUGGUCGUUCCACUUUGCAGAAAGAAGCCGUCACUGUUUGCGCUACAUUACAGAAGGAAUGAACGAGAAGCUUUACAGAGUAUUAUUAGACACCGGUGACAUGACUAGUCUGCAGAGACCAUUGGCAAUUUAACAACACGUGGAGUGCCCUGGGCAAAAAGUGCCCAAACAAGUACAAGAAGCUACGACAGGACUCCACGAUCAUAGGCAUUACAUAUUUUGAAUGGGAAAAGCUUGUCAAAGUUUAAUCAUUGAUGUUAGCAAGAAGACGUUAGUUUAAUAUAUUGGAAUUGGAAAACCUUGUCAAAAUUUGCUCAUUGAUGUUAGCCAGAAGACAUGCAUUUGAUAUUUUUGAGUGGGACGCCCUUGCUGUGAGCAGCGUCGAGUGUUUUUUCCUAUUCUUGUGUUCAUUUUAGAAGUAAAUAGUUACUCUGCUGAGAUAUUCCUGUGUUAAGAGUUUGUUCAGAAUAUUGUCUAUGUAAUGCCAGGCCUUGUGUUUGAUUGCAAAGUUGAGCUUGGAAUGUUGUGGCAUGUGGCAUCACGAGCUGUUCACCGUGCCUCCUGAGAAUAAUGCUUCGUAUUGUUUUGCAUGUCGAUCUAAUGCCAGUGAUUUGCUUGUUAAGAAGAUCAUCCUCUUCUGUUGUUUCCGUGCUUAAGAAGUUCAUCGUCUGAUGUUUCAUUCAUAGCCUAUACGACAAGUCGGGUAGGUUAGACGUGAAACCAUAUGAUCUUCCGACCAACUCAUGAUAUUAGGCCGUGAUUGGAUCGUCGUUUUCCAACCAAAACUGCUUGUAAAACUGACGCUUGUAAAUUAAAGCAGAUGGUCUCGGGCGAAAGGGCUUGGUUGGUCGAUUUCGACUAGUAAAAUAUCGGAAGUACUUCACACACAAUAAAAACGCUGAAUGACACUCGGAUGAUUGCUAAUCCAGCCGUUAGCUGUUGUUUCAACCUUGCCCAUGGAUGGCAUGAUACGCACGUCGUGCAUGUAUCGACUGGUAAUGUCGUCCAUAUAACAGUGCUCGUAAAAUAUACACUGGUCUCUCAAAUUACACGCGUAACCCGCCGGUUUUACUUACAGACCUCGGGCCCUCGGUUUCAUUACGCCUGUAUUUUACGUGUUGUUUCCGAUGACGAGUAAAUUACACUUGUAUGUUAAUACAGGUUUGAAAUAAACCAGAGCUCCCAAGCGCGGCCUUACCGUUUCAUGCCGUCUCAGUUUCUCGAAGGUGCUCAUAGGUGUCCGAUGAUCCUGGCUUCCUAAAUGAGCAGCGGGCGCUGUAUCAGACCAUCCGUAGGGCCCGCGAGGCCCUCUCCGUUGUCCUUCAAGUUGUUGCGCUCGCCGUGGCGCCGAGCAUUGUUAACAUCGUCAACGAACAUGAGGAUUCAGGAGAUGACUUUAUUUUGACUGGAUGACACUAGGGACCCACUAGGGCCAUAGCCAUACGUACGCAAGUGCCUCCUUAUUAUGUACAACUAUUUUUUUUGCUUUCUCCUGGUUUCCUGACAUCACGGUCCCACACCAUUGUCAACCUAUGUAGUCAAUAUAAACGAGAGAAUUGCACAAGGUGCGGCCGACAGCUGGGACCAAGCAGCUCGAGCAGUAUUUGUGUUUUUGAGGUGUGAGCACUGCAGAGUUUUUCUUGGCGAUGAUUUCGUUGUUGUUCAGAGGAGAGCAGGGUAUUAACUAGGCGGGCUGUGGCCCGUCUAGCCCAAGCCAGAUAUCCAGCCCAGAUACUAAUUUUUUCAAGAUGAAAAUGGCUAGCCCAGCUAUACGUCUUUUUGAGGAAUACCCAGGCAAGGUCAACUUGUUAUUCUCCGCCCCGCUGGGCUGCAAAUCUUUCCUAGGAGGGAUGAAUUAGGCUUAACAGGAAAAUGGGCUUUAAAAAUAAUAAAUGGGAUGUAAUUAUAAGAACUGGGCAGUAACUAUAAAAAAAUGCACCAAACACGAAAUUAGUUUAUAAAAUAUUAUUUAUGGAUUUUGAAAAUCUUAAAUUUUCAUUGUUGCGCGCGCAAUGUUUCGUUGGAUUUUUAAUCUGACUAGAAAUUUUGGGAUAAAAAUAUUUCGGAUCCCAUCAAAAUGUGGGAAAUUUUAUUGAAUUCUGUCUUCAACGGUUGGUUGAAAUUAUUAAUCGUUGUUCUAGCUAGAAAAUGGGUUGUACUUUUAACAAACUAUAAUGGGCUGUUGUAAAUUCCAUUAGAAUUCAAAAAUGGGCUGUACAUUCUUACAAAACGCAAAUGGGCUAUAAGUUCUCUGCCACACACUUGUGGGCCUACUAAGUGACGCGUCCCCUAAAAAAAUAAGUUGACGCGUAUGCAAGGCUUUGUCAACUUAUUAUAGUCAACACACGGUUCUAGCAGCAGUGGCCGUUGGAUGUCUAUCCAACGGAUGUCGUGCUUCUUCUUCAAUCUCGGAUAUUCUUAGCUUCGGCCGCCCAAAAAAUGAUUCCUCCCCCUGACAUCUGGGGCGCACCGUUUCGGAGGUUGACCUGUGGGCCUACUAAGUUGGAGCGUACCAAGGGCUUUGUCAACUUAGUCAAUAUAAACGAUUCUAGCUUCAGUGACCGUACGAUGUCCAUCCAACGGCGGUAGUGCUUCUUCAACCUCUGGUCUUCUUGGUCCAGCCGCCCAAAGCAGCGCCGGUCGUGCCGCCUGCUCCUGCCUCCCGUGGCUGGGUGUGCUGCCGCGGAGGCCUCACCGCCCCCAUACUACUCCCACCGCUGGUCAGGCCAUCCCUCCACUCACCCACACCCCCUGUUAUUCUGCGGCGACGGCAGCCUCACACCGCAGCCGAACUAGUGAACCCUCGUACUCCUCUCCGCGCGGGCUUCCAUUUCUGCGUCUUCCCCGGCUCCGCCUCGUCCCCUUCCUAGGCCUCGCCGUCGUCCACCGCCCUGGUGCUCUCGGCGCGGCGUGGUCAACAUGGUCAACGACCGACUUCCAUCGGAAGAGUACUGUACGUGGAGAGGCUGACAGCUGGGUCCACGGCGGCCGCAAGGAAGUGCCUCCUUAUUACGCGCAAAAUAAUUAUUCCUCCACCUGACAGCGGGGACCCACCAGACAGGCCACCUUAUUUCGCGAAAAAACGUUUCCCCCCUGACUGCUGGGACCCACCAGACGGGCCAUCAUAUUUCGUGAAAAAAAACGUUCCCCCCGCUGUCAGCUCGGACCGACUGGAAAUGCCUUCUUAUUACGCACAAAAAAAUGAAUACUCCCCCUACUAGCUGGGACCCACCUUGGUGGGAGGCUGACUUGUGGGCCUACUAAGUUGACGGGGACGGAGGGCUUUGUCAACUUCGUCAAUAUGAACGAUUCUAGCUCCAGUGACCGUACGAUGUCCAUCCAACGGCCGUAGUGCUUCUUCAACCUCUGGUCUUCUUGCUCCAGCCGCCCAAAGCAGCGUCAGUCGUGCUGCCUGCUCCUGCCUCCCGUGGCCGGCUGUGCUGCCGCGGAGGCCUCACCGCCCCCUACUAUUCCCACCGCUGGCCAGGCCCUGCGGCGACGGCAGCCUCACACCGCAGCCGAACGAGUGAACCCUCAUACUCCUCUCUGCGUGGGCAUCCACUGCCGCGUCUUCACCGGCUCCGCGUCGUCCCCUUCCUAGGCCUCGCCGUCGUCCACUGCCCUAGUGCUCUCAGCGUGGCGUGGUCGAUGUGGUCAAGGAACGACUUCCAUCGGACGUGGACUGUACGUGGAGAGGCUGACAGCUGGGUCCACGGUGGCAGCAAGGAAGUGUCUCCUUAUUACGCGGAAAAUAAUGAUUCCUCCACCUGACAGCAGGGACCCACCGGACGGGCCACCGUAUUUCGCGAAAAAAUUGUUUCCCCCCUGACUACUGGGACCCACCAGCUACAUCUUCGCACGCAAGGAAGUGCGUCCGGGCAAAAAAAACCAAAACGAUUCGACCCCCUGACUACUGGGACCCACCAGCUACAUCUUCGCAGGCAAGGAAGUGCCUGACAGUCGGGGCCCACCUGGUCGAAGCGUACGUAGUGUUGUCAUUCUAGUCACGAACGUGUACGUACAUAUAUACUGGUCGAUGUAGAGGCAUGCACGUGUCGUAGUAGAGGCGCGUACGUGUAGUAGUAGAGGCGCGCACGUAGCAUGUACAUGUACGUACAACGGCCAGGGUGCAAGAAAGAAAAUACGGCCACGCACGUACAUACGGGCAGGGUCUCGAAUGCCUACUCGCGCAUACGUACGACGAGGGCUCGUGUAGAUGGCUGGGUCAGAACGGAGAAACAGCGUCAUCGUCAUGUUCAUGGGGAGGCAACGGAAUGCGUCGUGUUCAUGGGGAGGGGUGUGGCGUACCGCAAAACAGAGGAAACGGACCUCCUACGGUCGAAACGGGGGUCCUGUUGAUCGGGAGGAGUGUGGCGUACCGCAAAACGGAGGAAACGAACCUCCUACGGUCGAAACGGGGGUCAUGUUGAUCGGGAGGGGUGUGGCGUACCGCAAAACGGAGGAAACGGACCUCCUACGGUCGAAACGGGGGUCCUGUUGAUCGGGAGGGGUGUGGCGUNNNNNNNNNNNNNNNNNNNNNNNNNNNNNNNNNNNNNNNNNNNNNNNNNNNNNNNNNNNNNNNNNNNNNNNNNNNNNNNNNNNNNNNNNNNNNNNNNNNNNNNNNNNNNNNNNNNNNNNNNNNNNNNNNNNNNNNNNNNNNNNNNNNNNNNNNNNNNNNNNNNNNNNNNNNNNNNNNNNNNNNNNNNNNNNNNNNNNNNNNNNNNNNNNNNNNNNNNNNNNNNNNNNNNNNNNNNNNNNNNNNNNNNNNNNNNNNNNNNNNNNNNNNNNNNNNNNNNNNNNNNNNNNNNNNNNNNNNNNNNNNNNNNNNNNNNNNNNNNNNNNNNNNNNNNNNNNNNNNNNNNNNNNNNNNNNNNNNNNNNNNNNNNNNNNNNNNNNNNNNNNNNNNNNNNNNNNNNCUCCACAGGAUACUGUUCAUCUCCACCGUCGACCUCCUCCAGCCUCCACGGGCUCCUGUUCAUCCAGCCUCCACCGCGCGCUACUCCACCGGCUACUGUUCAACCACCCCUCCACGGGCACCCCUCCACCGUCUACUGUUCAUCCAGCUCUCCACACCACGAGGUCCUGUUCAACCACCCCUCCACGGGCACCCCUCCACCGUCUACUGUUCAUCCAGCCCUCCACCACACCACGGGGUCCUGUUCAUCUAGAGGCAAUGCCACCGCUCACUGUUCAUCCAACCCCCCCGCAACAUUCACUGUUCAUCCAAUCGAUCGGCUUCAGUUAGCAGCAGUAGCGAAGGAAUCGCUCGAUCGGGUUCAGUUAACAGCCAUCGAUCGAUCGCUCAGGUUCAGUAACGCGUAGCCUGCAGUGCAAUCGCUCGGGUUCAGUUAGAGCCCAACGCCUCGCUCGGGUUCAGUUAGAGCCAACGCCUCGCACACACGCGCGCACGUGUACGAGAGAAACGCGCAUCGCUCGGCCCCCGACCUCCCACCGUAACCGGGAACUCCCCGAAAUUUUCCUCCCCCUCGCUUCUACCAUGGUUUUUUCCGUCAUGGACGGCCCAAAGAAUGUCAUACAGCUGCGUCUCCGGCCCGCCCAGGACGAAAAGCCCAUUUUCUGUCAUGAUUUUUUUCAUAGAAGUAGGAGCCCACCACAUCUAUGAUGAUACCGGGUUUUGUCACAAUUAUCGUCAUAGAAGUGUCAUAUGUAUGACAGAAAAAAAUUGUGCGGCCCAAAAUGUCACGGAUGUGUCUUUUUUUGUAGUGAAAACAAAUCCACCACCGUGCUCUAAAAAAUAUAAGUGAAAUACUAGAGCAAAACUAUAUAACUCAAAACAUAUAAGUGAAGCACAUAGAGUAUUCUAAUAAUUUCCGAAUCAUGUGUGUCUCUCUCAAAAGAUGUGUACAGCAAGGAUGAUUGUGUUAAACUAAAAAGCAAAGACUCAAAUCAUACAAGACGCUCCAAGCAAAACACAUAUCAUGUGGUGAAUAAAAAUAUAGCUCCAAGUAAAGUUACCGAUGGAAGUAGACGUAAGAGGGGAUGCCUUCCGGGGCAUCCCCAAGCUUUGGCUUUUUGGUGUCCUUAAAUUAUCUUGGGGGUUCCAUGGGCAUCCCCAAGCUUAGGCUCUUGCCACUCCUUGUUCCAUAAUCCAUCAAAUCUUUCACCCAAAACUUGAAAACUUCACAACACAAAACUUAACAGAAAAUCUCGUGAACUCCGUUAGCGAAAGAAAACAAAAGACCACUUCAAGGUACUGUAAUGAACUCAUUCUUUAUUUAUAUUGGUGUUAAACCUACUGUAUUCCAACUUCUCUAUGGUUUAUAAACUAUUUUACUAGCCAUAGAUUCAUCAAAAUAAGCAAACAACACACGAAAAACAGAAUCUGUCAAAAACAGAACAGUCUGUAGUAAUCUGUAACUAACGCAAACUUCUGGAACUCCAAAAAAUCAGCCAAAAUAGGACUACCUAGACAAUUUGUUUAUUGAUCAGCAGCAAUUUGAAUCAGUAUUUUAUCACGUUCUGGUGAUUUUUAACAAUUAUUUUCGUGAACAGAAAGUUUCUGGAAAUUUCUGCAAGAUCAAAUAACUAUCAUCCAAGAAGAUCCUAUAGGUUUAACUUGGCAAAAAAACUAAUUAAAACAUAAAAACAUAUAACCAGAGGCUAGAUCAAAUAUUUAUUCCUAAACAGAAGCAAAAAAGCAAAAAACUACAAAUAAAAUUGGGUUGCCUCCCAACAAGCGCUAUCGUUUAACGCCCCUAGCUAGGCAUAAAAGUAAGGAUAGAUCUAGGUAUUGCCAUCUUUGGUAGGCAAUCCAUAAGUGGCUCUCAUAAUAGAUUCAGAUGGUAAUUUUAUUUUCUUCCUAGGUAAGUGUUCCAUGCCUUUCUUUAAUGGAAAUUGGAAUCUAAUACUCCCUUCAUAUCAAUAAUUGCACCAAUCGUUCUAAGGAAAGGUCUACCAAGAAUAAUUGGACAUGAAGGAUUGCAAUCUAUGUCAAGAACAAUAAAAUCUACGGGCACAUAAUUCCUAUUUCCAACAAUAAGAACAUCAUUAAUUCUUCCCAUAGGUUUCUUAAUAGUAGAAUCCGCAAGGUGCAAGUUUAAAGAGCAAUCGUCAAAAUCACGGAAAUCUAGCAAAUCGCACAAAGUUUUGGGAAUAGUGGAAACACUUGUUGGGGAAUGUAGCAAUUUCAAAAAAAAUCCUACGCACACGCAAGAUCAUGGUGAUUCAUAGCAACGAGAGGGGAGAGUGUGUCCACGUACCCUCAUAGACCGAAAGCGGAAGCGUUAGCACAACGCGGUUGAUGUAGUCGUACGUCUUCACGAUCCGACCGAUCAAGUACCGAACGCACGGCACCUCCGAGUUCAGCACACGUUCAGCCCGAUGACGUCCCUCGAACUCCGAUCCAGCCAUGUGUUAAGGGAGAGUUUCGUCAGCACGACGGUGUGGUGACGAUGAUGAUGUUCUACCGACGCAGGGCUUCGCCUAAGCACCGCUACGAUAUUAUCGAGGUGGAUUAUGGUGGAGGGGGGCACCGCACACGGCUAAGAGAUCAAGAGAUCAAUUGUUGUGUCUAUGGGGUGCCCCCUGCCCCCGUAUAUAAAGGAGCAAGGGCGGGAGGUGCGGCCGGCCAAAAGGAGGCGCGCCAAGAGGAGUCCUACUCCCACCGGGAGUAGGACUCUCUCCCUUCCUUGUUGGACUAGGAGAGGAGAGGGAAGGAAAGAGGGGGAAAGGAAAGGGGGGCGCCCCCCCCUCCUUCCACCAAUUGGGCCCAUGAGGCCCAAUAGCCUCUGGGGGGUUCCGGUAACCCCCCGGUACUCCGGUAUAUAUCCGAUAACCCCCGGAACCAUUCCGGUGUCCGAAUAUAGUCAUCCAAUAUAUCAAUCUUCAUGUCUCGACCAUUUCGAGACUCCUCGUCAUGUCCGUGAUCACAUCCGGGACUCCGAACAACCUUCGGUACAUCAAAACAUAUAAACUCAUAAUAUAACUGUCAUCGAAACGUUAAGCGUGCGGACCCUACGGGUUCGAGAACUAUGUAGACAUGACCGAGACACGUCUCCGGUCAAUAACCAAUAGAGGAACCUGGAUGCUCAUAUUGGCUCCCACAUAUUCUACGAAUAUCUUUAUCGGUCAGACCGCAUAACAACAUACGUUGUUCCCUUUGUCAUCGGUAUGUUACUUGCCCGAGAUUCGAUCGUCGGUAUCUCAAUACCUAGUUCAAUCUCAUUACCGGCAAGUCUCUUUACUCGUUCCGUAAUACAUCAUCCCACAACUAACUCAUUAGUUGCAAUGCUUGCAAGGCUUAAGUGAUGUGCAUUACCGAGAGGGCCCAGAGAUACCUCUCCGACAAUCGGAGUGACAAAUCCUAAUCUCGAAAUACGCCAACCCAACAAGUACCUUUGGAGACACCUGUAGAGCACCUUUAUAAUCACCCAGUUACGUUGUGAUGUUUGGUAGCACACAAAGUGUUCCUCCGGUAAACGGGCGUUGCAUAAUCUCAUAGUCAUAGGAACAUGUAUAAGUCAUGAAGAAAGCAAUAGCAACAUACUAAACGAUCGAGUGCUAAGCUAACGGAAUGGGUCAAGUCAAUCACAUCAUUCUCCUAAUGAUGUGAUCCCGUUAAUCAAAUGACAACUCAUGUCUAUGGCUAGGAAACAUAACCAUCUUUGAUCAACGAGCUAGUCAAGUAGAGGCAUACUAGUGACACUCUGUUUGUCUAUGUAUUCACACAUGUAUCAUGUUUCCGGUUAAUACAAUUCUAGCAUGAAUAAUAAACAUUUAUCAUGAUAUAAGGAAAUAAAAAAUAACUUUAUUAUUGCCUCUAGGGCAUAUUUCCUUCAGUCUCCCACUUGCACUAGAGUCAAUAAUCUAGUUCACAUCGCUAUGUGAUUUAACAUCAAUGGUUCACAUCUUUAUGUGAUUAACACCCAUAGUUCACAUCGACAUGUGACCAACACCCAAAGGGUUUACUAGAGUCAGUAAUCUAGUUCACAUCGCUAUGUGAUUAACACCCAAAGAGUGCUAAGGUGUGAUCAUGUUUUGCUUGUGAGAUAAUUUUAGUCAACGGGUCUGUCACAUUCAGAUCCGUAAGUAGUUUGCAAAUUUCUAUGUUUACAAUGCUCUGCACGGAGCUACUUUAGCUAAUUGCUCCCACUUUUCAAUAUGUAUCUGGAUUGUGACUUAGAGUCAUCCAGAUCGGUGUCAAAGCUUGCAUCGACGUAACUCUUUACGACGAACUCCUUAUCACCUCCAUAACCGAGAAAUAUAUCCUUAUUCCGCUAAGGAUAAUUUUGACCGCUGUCCAGUGAUCUACUCCUAGAUCACUAUUGUACUCCCUUGCCAAACUUAUGGUGAGGUACACAAUAGGUCUGGUACUCAGCAUAGCAUACUUGAUAGAACCUAUGACUGAGGCAUAGGGAAUGACUCUUCAUUCUCUUUCUAUUCUUCUGCCGUGGUCGGGUUUUGAGUCUGUACUCAACUUCACACCUUGUAACACAUGCAAGAACUCUUUCUUUGACUGUUCCAUUUUGAACUAUUUCAAAAUCCUGUCAAGGUAUGUACUCAUUGAAAAAAAAAACUUAUCAAGCGUCUUGAUCUAUCUCUAUAGAUCUUGAUGCUCAACAUGUAAGCAGCUUCACCGAGGUCUUUCUUUGAAAAACUCCUUUCAAACACUCCUUUAUGCUUUGCAGAAUAAUUCUACAUUAUUUCUGAUCAACAAUAUGUCAUUCAAAUAUACUUAUCAAAAAUGCUGUAGUGCUCCCACUCACUUUCUUAUAAAUACAGGCUUCACCGCAAGUCUGUAUAAAACUAUAUGCUUUGAUCAACUUAUCAAAGCGUAUAUUCCAACUCCGAAAUCUUUGCACCAGUCCAUAGAUGGAUCGCUGGAGCUUGCAUAUUUUGUUAGCACUUUUAGGAUUGACAAAACCUUCUGGUUGCAUCAUAUACAACUCUUCUUUAAUAAAUCCACUAAAGAAUGCAGUUUUGUUUAUCCAUUUGCCAGAUUUCAUAAAAUGUGGCAAUUGCUAACAUGAUUCGGACAGACUUAAGCAUAGAUACGAGUGAGAAACUCUCAUCGUAGUCAACACCUUGAACUUGUCGAAAACCUUUUGCGACAAUUCUAGCUUUGUAGAUAGUAACACUACUAUCACCGUCCGUCUUCCUCUUGAAGAUCCAUUUAAUCUCAAUGGCUCGCCGAUCAUUGGGCAAGUCAAUCAAAGUCCAUACCUUGUUCUCAUACAUGGAUCCCAUCUCAGAUUUCAUGGCCUCAAGCCAUUUUGCGGAAUCUGGGCUCAUCAUCGCUUCCUCAUAGUUCGUAGGUUCGUCAUGGUCAAGUAACAUGACCUCCAGAACAGGAUUACCGUACCACUCUGGUGCGGAUCUUACUCUGGUUGACCUACGAGGUUCGGUAGUAACUUGAUCUGAAGUUUCAUGAUCAUCAUCAUUAGCUUCCUCAUUAAUUGGUGUAGGUGUCACAGGAACCGGUUUCUGUGGUGAACUACUUUCCAAUAAGGGAGCAGGUACAGUUACCUCAUCAAGUUCUACUUUCCUCCCACUCACUUCUUUCGAGAGAAACUCCUUCUCUAGAAAGGAUCCAUUUUCAGGAACGAAUAUCUUGCCUUCGGAUCUGUGAUAGAAGGUGUACCCAACAUUUUCUUUUGGGUAUCCUAUGAAGACACAUUUCUCCGAUUUGGGUUUGAGCUUAUCAAGUUGAAACUUUUUCACAUAAGCAUUGCAACCUCAAACUUUAAGAAACGACAGCUUAGGUUUCUUGCCAAACCAUAGUUCAUACAGUGUCGUCUCAACGGAUUUAGAUGGUGCCCUAUUUAACGUGAAUGUAGCUGUCUCUAAUGCAUAACCCUAAAACGAUAGUGGUAGAUUGGUAAGAGACAUCAUAGAUCGCACCAUAUCUAAUAAAGUACGGUUACGACGUUCGGACACACCAUUACACUUUGGUGUUCCAGGUGGCGUGAGUAGUGAAACUAUUUCACAUUGUUUUAACUGAAGGCCAAACUCGUAACUCAAAUAUUUUACCUCUGCGAUCAUAUCGUAGAAACUUUUAUUUUUGUUACGAUGAUUCUCCACUUCACUCUAAAAUUCUUUGAACUUUUCAAAUGUUUCAGACUUGUGUUCCAUCAAGUAGAUAUACCCAUAUCUGCUCAAAUCAUCUGUGAAUGUCAGAAAAUAAUGAUACCCGCCGCAAGCCUUAAUAUUCAUCGGACCACAUACAUCAGUAUGUAUGAUUUCCAACAAAUCUAUUGCUUGCUCCAUUGUUCCGGAGAACGGCGUUUUAGUCAUCUUGCCCAAGAGGCAUGGUUCGCAAGCAUCAAGUGAUUCAUAAUCAAGUGAUUCCAAAAUCCCAUCAGCAUGGAGUUUCUUCAUGCGCUUUACACCAAUAUGACCUAAACGGCAGUGCCACAAAUAAGUUGCACUAUCAUUAUUAACUUUGCAUCUUUUGGCUUCAUUAUUAUGAAUAUGUGUAUCACUACGAUCGAGAUCCAACAAACCAUUUUAUUGGGUGUAUGACCAUAGAAGGUUUUAUUCAUGUAAACAGAACAACAAUUAUUCUCUAAUUUAAAUGAAUAACCGUAUUGCAACAAACAUGAUCAAAUCAUAUUCAUGCUCAACGCAAACGCCAAAUAACACUUAUUUAGUUUCAACACUAAUCCCGAAAGUAUAGGGAGUGUGCGAUGAUGAUCAUAUCAAUCUUGGAACUACUUCCAACACACAUCGUCACCUCGCCUUUUACUAGUUUCUGUUUAUUCUGCAACUCCCGUUUCGAGUUACUACUCUUAGCAACUGAACCAGUAUCAAAUGCCUAGGGGUUGCUAUAAACACUAGUAAAGUACACAUCAAUAACAUGUAUAUCAAAUAUACCUUUGUUCACUUUGCCAUCCUUCUUAUCCACCAAAUACUUGGGGUAGUUCCGCUUCCAGUGACCAGUCCCUUUGCAGUAGAAGCACUUAGUCUCAGGCUUAGGACCAGACUUGGGCUUCUUCACUUGAGCAGCAACUUGCUUGCCGUUCUUCUUGAAGUUCCCCUUCUUCCCUUUGCCCUUUUCUUGAAACUAGUGGUCUCGUCAACCAUCAACACUUGAUGUUUUUCUUGAUUUCUACCUUCGCCGAUUUCAGCAUCAGAUAGAGCUUGGGAAUUGUUUCUGUUAUCCCUUGCAUAUUAUAGUUCAUCACGAAGUUCUACUAACUUGGUGAUGGUGACUAGAGAAUUCUGUCAAUCACUAUCUUAUCUGGAAGAUUAACUCCCACUUUAUUCAAGAGAUUGUAGUACCCGGACAAUCUGAGCACAUGCUCACUGCCUGAGCUAUUCUCCUCCAUCUUUUAGCUGUAGAACUUGUUGGAGACUUCAUAUCUCUCAACUUGGGUAUUUGCUUGAAAUAUUAACUUCAACUCCUAGAACAUCUCAUAUGGUCCAUGACGUUCAAAAAGACUUUGAAGUCUCGAUUCUAAGCAGUUAAGCAUGGUGCACUAAACUAUCAAGUAGUCAUCAUAUUGAGCUAGCCAAACGUUCAUAACGUCUGCAUCUGCUCCUGUAAUAGGUCUGUCACCUAGCGGUGCAUCAAGGACAUAAUUCUUCUGUGUAGCAAUGAGGAUAAACCUCAGAUCAUGGACCCAGUCCGCAUCAUUGCUACUAUCAUCUUUCAACUUAGUUUUCUCUAGGAACAUAUAUAAAACAUAGGGAAGCAACAACGCGAGCUAUAUAUCUACAACAUAGAUAUGCUAAUACUACCAGGACUAAGUUCAUGAUAAAUUAAAGUUCAAUUAAUCAUAUUACUUAAGAACUCCCACUUAUAUAGACAUCCCUCUAAUCUUCUAAGUGAUCACGUGAUCCAUAUCAACUAAACCAUGUCCGAUCAUCACGUGAGAUGGAGUAGUUUCAAUGGUGAACAUCACUAUGUUGAUCAUAUCUACUAUAUGAUUCACGCUCGACCUUUCGGUCUCAGUGUUCCGAGGCCAUAUCUGUUAUAUGCUAGGCUCGUCAAGUUUAACCUGAGUAUUCCGUGUGUGCAACUGUUUUGCACCCGUUGUAUUUGAACGUAGAGCCUAUCACACCCGAUCAUCACGUGGUGUCUCAGCACGAAGAACUUUCGCAACGGUGCAUACUCAGCGCGAACACUUAUACUUUGAUAAUUUAGUGAGGGAUCAUCUUACAAUGCUACCGUCAAUCAAAGCAAGAUAAGAUGCAUAAAAGAUAAACAUCACAUGCAAUCAAUAUAAGUGAUAUGAUAUGGCCAUCAUCAUCUUGUGCUUGUGAUCUCCAUCUCCGAAGCACCGUAAUGAUCACCAUCGUCACCGACGCGACACCUUGAUCUUCAUCGUAGAAUCGUUGUCGUCUCGCCAAUCUUAUGCUUCUACUACUAUCGCCACCGCUUAGUGAUAAAGUAAAGCAUUACAGGGCGAUUGCAUUGCAUACGAUAAAGCGACAACCAUAUGGCUCCUGCCAGUUGCCGAUAACUCGGUUACAAAACAUGAUCAUCUCAUACAAUAAAAUUUAGCAUCAUGUCUUGACCAUAUCACGUCACAACAUGCCCUGCAAAAACAAGUUAGACGUCCUCUACUUUGUUGUUGCAAAUUUUACGUGGCUGCUACGGGCUUAGCAAGAAUCGUUCUUACCUACGCAUCAAAACCACAAUGAUAGUUUGUCAAGUUGGUGUUGUUUUAACCUUCGCAAGGACCGGGCGUAGCCACACUCGGUUCAACUAAAGUUGGAGAAACUGACACCCGCCAGCCACCUGUGUGCAAAGCACGUCGGUAGAACCAGUCUCGCGUAAGCGUACGCGUAAUGUCAGUCCGGGCCGCUUCAUCCAACAAUACCGCCGAACCAAAGUAUGACAUGCUGGUAAGCAGUAUGACUUAUAUCGCCCACAACUCACUUGUGUUCUACUUGUGCAUAUAACAUCAACGCAUAAAACCAGGCUCGGAUGCCACUGUUGAGGAACGUAGUAAUUUCAAAAAAAUUCCUACGCACACGCAAGAUCAUGGUGAUGCAUAGCAACGAGAGGGGAGAGUGUGUCCACGUACCCUCGUAGACCGAAAGCGGAAGCGUUAGCACAAUGCGGUUGAUGUAGUCGUACGUCUUCACGAUCCGACCGAUCAAGUACCGAACGCACGGCACCUCCAAGUUCAGCACACGUUCAGCCCGAUGACGUCCCUCGAACUCCGAACCAGCCGAGUGUUGAGGGAGAGUUUCGUCAGCACGACGGCGUGGUGACGAUGAUGAUGUUCUACCGACGCAGGGCUUCGCCUAAGCACCGCUAUGAUAUUAUCGAGGUGGAUUAUGGUGGAGGGGGGCACCGCACACGGCUAAGAGAUCAAGAGAUCAAUUGUUGUGUCUAUGGGGUGCCCCCCUGCCCCCGUAUAUAAAGGAGCAAGGGGGAGGUGCGGCCGGCCAGAAGGAGGCGCGCCAGGAGGAGUCCUACUCCCACCGGGAGUAGGACUCCCUCCCUUCCUUGUUGGACUAGGAGAGGAGAAGGAAGGAGAGAGGGGGAAAGGAAAGGGGGGCGCCGCCCCCCCUCCUUCCACCAAUUGGUCCCAUGAUGCCCAAUAGCCUCCGGGGGGUUCCGGUAACCCCCCGGUACUCCGGUAUAUAUCCGAUAACCCCCGGAACCAUUCCGGUGUCCGAAUAUAGUCAUCCAAUAUAUCAAUCUUCAUGUCUCGACCAUUUCGAGACUCCUCGUCAUGUCCGUGAUCACAUCCGGGACUCUGAACAACCUUCGGUACAUCAAAACAUAUAAACUCAUAAUAUAACUGUCAUCGAAACGUUAAGCGUGCGGACCCUACGGGUUCGAGAACUAUGUAGACAUGACCGAGACACGUCUCCGUUCAAUAACCAAUAGCGGAACCUGGAUGCUCAUAUUGGCUCCCACAUAUUCUACGAAGAUCUUUAUCGGUCAGACCGCAUAACAACAUAUGUUGUUCCCUUUGUCAUCGGUAUGUUACUUGCCCGAGAUUCGAUCGUCGGUAUCUCAAUACCUAGUUCAAUCUCGUUACCGGCAAGUCUCUUUACUCGUUCCGUAAUACAUCAUCCCACAACUAACUCAUUAGUUGCAAUGCUUGCAAGGCUUAAGUGAUGUGCAUUACCGAGAGGGCCCAGAGAUACCUCUCCGACAAUCGGAGUGACAAAUCCUAAUCUCGAAAUACGCCAACCCAACAAGUACCUUUGGAGACACAUAUAGAGCACCUUUAUAAUCACCCAAUUACGUUGUGACGUUUGGUAGCACACAAAGUGUUCCUCCGGUAAACGGGAGUUGCAUAAUCUCAUAGUCAUAGGAACAUGUAUAAGUCAUGAAGAAAGCAAUAGCAACAUACUAAACGAUCGAGUGCUAAGCUAACGGAAUGGGUCAAGUCAAUCACAUCAUUCUCCUAAUGAUGUGAUCCCGUUAAUCAAUGACAACUCAUGUCUAUGGCUAGGAAAAAUAACCAUCUUUGAUCAACGAGCUAGUCAAGUAGAGGCAUACUAGUGACACUCUGUUUGUCUAUGUAUUCACACAUGUAUCAUGUUUCCGGUUAAUACAAUUCUAGCAUGAAUAAUAAACAUUUAUCAUGAUAUAAGGAAAUAAAUAAUAACUUUAUUAUUGUCUCUAGGGCAUAUUCCUUCAACACUAGCACCCAAAUCACAUAAAGCAUAGAACUCAUGAUCCUUAAUCUUAAUUUUAAUAGUGGGUUCCCACUCAUCAUAAAGUUUUCUAGGGAUAGAAACUUCCAACUCAAGCUUUUCUUCAUAAAAUUGCAUCAACGCAUCAACGAUAUGUUUAGUAAACGCUUUAUUUUGACUAUAAGCAUGAGGAGAAUUUAGCACGGAUUGCAACAAGGAAAUACAAUCUAUCAAAGAGCAAUUCUUAUAAUUAAAUUCCUUGAAAUCCAAAACAGUGGGUUUAUUAAUAUCUAGAGUUUUGAUUUCUUCAAUCCCACUUUUAUCAAUUUUAGCAUCAAGAUCUAAAAACUCCGAAUUUUUGGAACGCCUUCUAUGUAAAGGUGGAUCAUAUUCAGUCCCAUCAUUAUCAAGAUUCAUAUUACAAAACAAAGAUUUAAUAGGGGACACAUCAAUAACUUUUAGAUUUUCAUCUUUAUUUUCAUAGAAAUUUGAAGAACACGCUUUCAUAAAGCAAUCUUUCUUAGCACGCAUCCUAGCGGUUCUUUCUUUGCACUCAUCAAUGGAAAUUCUCAUGGCUUUGAGAGACUCAUUGAUAUCAUGCUUAGGAGGAAUAGAUCUAAGUUUUAAAGAAUCAACAUCAAGAGAAAUUCUAUCAACGUUCCUAGCCAAUUCAUCAACUUUAAGCAAUUUCUCUUCAAGCAAAGCAUUGAAAUUCUUUUGCGAAUUCAUAAAUUCUUUAACACUAGUCUCAAAUUCAGAGGGCAUCUUAUUAAAAUUUCCAUAAGCAUUGUUGUAGGAAUUACCAAAAUUAUUAGAGGAAUUGCUAGGAUAAGGCCUAGGAUUAAAGUUUCCUCUAUACGCGUUGUUACCAAAAUUAUUCCUACCAAAAAAAUUCACAUCCAUAGAUUCAUUAUUAUUCUCAAUCAAAGUAAACAAAGGCAUAUCAUUAGGAUCAGAAGAAACACUCUUAAUAGCAAAUAAUUUCAUAAGUUCAUCCAUCUUUCCACUCAAAACAUUAAUUUAUUCUAUCGCAUGCACUUUUUUAUUAGUAGAUCUUUCAGUGUGCCAUUGAGAAUAAUUAACCAUAAUAUUAUCUAGGAGUUUAGUAGCUUCUCCUAAAGUGAUUUCCAUAAAAGUGCCUCCCGCGACUGAAUCUAAAAGAUUUCUAGAAGCAAAAUUCAAUCCGGCAUAAAAAAAUUGUAUAAUCAUCCACAAAUUCAAACCAUGAGUAGGGCAACUACGUAUCAUUAAUUUCAUCCUCUCCCAAGCUUGUGCAACAUGUUCGUGAUCAAGUUGCUUAAAAUUCAUAAUAUCGUUUCUAAGAGAGAUAAUCGUAGCAGGAGGAAAAUACUUAGAGAUAAAAGAAUCUUUGCACUUAUUCCAAGAAUCAAUACUAUUUUUAGGCAAAGACGAAAACCAAGCUUUAGCACGAUCUCUAAGCGAAAAAGGAAAUAGCUUCAAUUUAACAAUAUCAUUGUCCACAUCUUUCUUCUUUUGCAUAUCACACAAAUCAACAAAGCUAUUUAGAUGAGUAGCGGCAUCUUCACUAGGAAGGCCGGCGAAUUGAUCUUUCAUGACAAGAUUCAACAAAGCAGCAUUGAUUUCACAAGAUUCAGUAUCGGUAAGAGGAGCAAUCGGAGUGCUAAGGAAAUCAUUAUUGUUGGUAUUGGUAAAGUCACAUAAUUUGGUAUUAUCUUGAGCCAUCGUGACAAACAAGCAAUCCAACACACGAGCAAACAAAAAGCAAGCGAAAAAGAGGCGAAUGAAAAAGAGAGGGCGAAUAAAACGGCAAGGGUGAAGUGGGGGAGAGGAAAACGAGAGGCAAAUGGCAAAUAAUGUAAUGCGGGAGAUAAGGGUUUGUGAUGGGUACUUGGUAUGUUGACUUUUGCGUAGACCUCCCCGGCAACGGCGCCAGAAAUCCUUCUUGCUACCUCUUGAGCACUGCGUUAGUUUUCCCUUGAAGAGGAAAGGGUGAUGCAGCAAAGUAGCGUAAGUAUUUCCCUCAGUUUUUGAGAACCAAGGUAUCAAUCCAGUAGGAGGCUACGCGCGAGUCCCUCGCACCUACACAAAACAAAUAAAUCCACGCAACCAACGCGAUAAGGGGUUGUCAAUCCCUACACGGUCACUUACGAGAGUGAGAUCUGAUAGAUAUGAUAGGAUAAUAUUUUUGGUAUUUUUAUGAUAAAGAUGCAAAGUAAAAUAAAAGCAAAGGAAAAAGCAAAGGAAAUAACUAAGUGUUGGAAGAUUAAUAUGAUGAAGAUAGACCCGGGGCCCAUAGGUUUCACUAGUGGCUUCUCUCGAGAGCAUAAGUAUUUUACGGUGGGUGAACAAAUUACUGUUGAGCAAUUGACAGAAUUGAGCAUAGUUAUGAGAAUAUCUAGGUAUGAUCAUGUAUAUAGGCAUCACGUCCGAGACAAGUAGACCGACUCCUGCCUGCAUCUACUACUAUUACUCCACACAUCGACCGCUAUCGAGCAUGCAUCUAGAAUAUUAAGUUCAUAAGAACAGAGUAACGCCUUAAGGAAGAUACAUGAUGUAGAGGGAUAAAUUCAUGCAAUAUGAUAAAAAAAAACCAUCUUGUUAUCCUCGAUGGCAACAAUACAAUACGUGCCUUGCUGCCCCUACUAUCACUGGGAAAGGACACCGCAAGAUUGAACCCAAAGCUAAGCACUUCUCCCAUUGCAAGAAAGAUCAAUCUAGUAGGCCAAACCAAACUGAUAAUUCGAAGAGACUUGCAAAGAUAACCAAUCAUACAUAAAAGAAUUCAGAAGAUUCAAAUAUUGUUCAUAGAUAAACUUGAUCAUAAACCCACAAUUCAUCGGUCUCAACAAACACACGGCAAAAGAAGAUUACGACGAAUAGAUCUCCAUGAGAGAGGGGGAGAACAUUGUAUUGAGAUCCAAGAUGAGAGAGGAAGCCAUCUAGCUACUAACUAUGCACCCGAAGGUCUGAGGUAAACUACUCACACUUCAUCGGAGAGGCUAUGGUGUUGAUGUAGAAGCCCUCCGUGAUGGAUGCCCCCUCCGGCGGAGCUCCGGAACAGGCCCCAAGAUGGGAUCUCGUGGGUACAGAAGGUUGCGGCGGUGGAAUUAGGUUUUUGGCUCUAUAUCUGAUCGUUUGGGGGUACGUAGGUAUAUAUAGGAGGAAGAACUACGUCGGUGGAGCAACGUGGGGCCCACGAGGGUGGAGGGCGCGCCUGGGGGGGUAGGCGCGCCCCCCUACCUCGUGGCUUCCUGGAAGCUUCUCUUACGUAGGGUCCAAGUCUCCUGGAUCAUGUUCGUUCCGAAAAUCACGUUCCCGAAGGUUUCAUUCCGUUUGGACUCCGUUUGAUAUUCUUUUUCUGCGAAACUCUGAAAUAGGCAAAAAACUGCAAUUCUGGGCUGGGCCUCCGGUUAAUAGGUUAGUCCCAAGAAUAAUAUAAAAGUGAAUAAUAAAGCCCAAUAAUGUCCAAAACAGAAGAUAAUAUAGCAUGGAGCAAUCAAAAAUUAUAGAUACGUUGGAGACGUAUCAGACACAUAUUUCGAGGAUGAUCAGAUCUGAGAUUAUGGGCCAAUGAAAGCAAUACAAACACGAUUAAAGAUCUGUGAUUAUGGGCCAAUGGAACUACUGAAAACCCAACUAAAUAACUGAGAUUGUAGGCCAAUGAAAGAAAUGAAGACCCGAUUAAAGAUUCAAGACUAUUAUGGGCCAAUGGAAGAAAUAAAGACAUGAUUAAACUUGCAAACUCAUGCCGAUGUGCAUGGUGCAUAAUUAAAGGACUCGUGGGCUAAAUCAUUAUAAUUUACACCAAAGGCGAGAAGUAGAUGGGUGGGGUAGACCGAGGAGGCAUUUAAGGACGAGGAGGAACUCACAAUUUUCACACUUGACGCAUACGACCAGCACGUUGCCACACUCACGAAACAUGAAAUCAUGGGUGAUGACACGCCGAGGUGUCCACCAAAGCCCGUGCCACCAGGGAGCUACCUCUCUCUCUAGGGAUUUUUUAUUUCUUGCAAUUAAUUUUGAUGAUAAAGACUAAUGUUUGUCCCGCGUUGCAACACAUGGGCAUAUGUGCUAGUAAAUCAAAAGGAAAAAAGAAAACUGAAAUAAAAAUCAAAAAUAAAAACCUCAAGGAAAAAAAACCCAACAAAAAGCCCAAGAAAGACCGGAAUGGAAUCAAACCUUGGAAGAAUAAACCACAAACUCAGCACAACAAAAUUUGAACCAAAUACAACGAAAGCAACAGAAUAAAAAGGGAGCAACUAGUUGACGAGGGCUCCUUCGGGAGCCUCGCAACCAUCAGCGCCACUUGGCGCGCUCUCAGCCGCCCCGCCACGUGUCGCGCUCUGGACGCUCCUUUCGUAUUUUAAUUUUUUUCGCACGCGUUUUCGGCUUUUUAAAUGAUUUAUUUGGGGUUUUUUCGACAUUUUGGUUUUCCACAGCUUUUAGGCCCAAAAAAAAUGCCCGAAAAAGUGCAUUUUUUUCUUCCGCGAGAGCACGGUUUUGCUUCCGUGAGAGGCACGGUUGUGCUUCCGUGAGAGGCACGGUUUUGCUUCCGCGAAAGGCACGGCCGUGCCUCUCGAAGACGAAAAAACGGGUUUUCUGUUUUUUCCUUCCGCGAGAGACACGGUUGUGAUUUUGCGAGAGGCACGACAAUGCCUCUUUCAAAAAGGAAAAAAUGCAUUUUUUGUUUUUUUUCCCUUCCGUGAGACUCAUGGUUUUGCUUCCGCGAGAGGCACCGUUGUGAUUCCGCUAGAGGCACGACCGUGCUCUUUCGAAAAGGGAAAAACCAUGCUCCUAGUUCGGUUUUUUUGUCCAGUUUUUUUGUGAAGAAAAAGUUCGUUAAAACCUAUCAACAUGGUAUCUAGUUUUUAAGAUCUCGACCCGAGGAAUCGAACGGUGAAAACGGUUCGAGAUUUGGACGCACGGUUUAAGAGAUAAAAUGUUAUGAAUAAACGGAUCUACGAAAAAAGAGAAAACUCACAUGUAGUGACAAAUGAUGCGUGCCAUUUGUCACAACCUGAGAAGGCGGUUGACACGAUAAACUCAAUUGGCAUUAAUGAUAGAGAUAGGGUAAGUGUCAUGUCUUUAUGUUCCUUCCAUGUUCAUGCUUCUUUUUUGGUGUUUCAAGUGCUAACUUGUUCUUUUGUUUGUAGGUCACUAUUGCAUAGAACUUAUUUCAAGGAGAAGAGAAGAAGACCAAGAAAAGGAAGGUCAAGAAAGGGAGACCAUUUGUGUUGGCCCGUUGCUACAAUGUGUUGAAGGAUGAAGAGAAAUGGAAGCCCCAUGAUGACCAAGAGGAGAGCAUGAUGACAAGGAGCCAAGAUGCGGAGGUCGAGGAGAGGAGGGUGGCUGCCGAGGAGAGGAAGGUGCAAUUGGAGGAGAAGAAAUUGUCCAUGGAGAAGCGAUCUAGAUUAUUGAAAUGGGAGAAGCACUUGUUCUUCAUGGACACAUCUAAACUCGAUGAUAGGCAAAAGGAGUACGUCAUUCUUUCCCCUGAAGAAGUCUUAGAAAAAAGAGACAUGGCCAUGGGAGGCAUGGGAGCUACCAAUGGGAGGCAUGGGUGGCAUGAGUGGCUUCGGAGCUACCAUGGGAGGCAUGGGAGCACCUACGGGAGGCAUGGGUGGCUUCGGAGCUACCAUAGAAGGCAUGGGUGGCUUCAGAGCUACCAUGGGAGGCAUGAGUUUUGGGUCUCUCAUGGGAGGCAUGGGAGCAACUCCGGGUAACAUGGGUGGACGCAUGUCUUCCUGUGUGCCUCACAUACCUUCUCAUUAUCCCGUUGGAGAUCUUACGAACACCAUCCGAGCUCCCGAUGACGAUGCGGCGCUUGAAAAUGAAGAGGAGGAGGAAGAAUCGUUUUCGGAUGUAGGAAUAAUCGGAGGAAGAAGAGGACGAUGAUGAGUGAUGUGGCAUGAUUGUUGAUGUGCCAUUUGUUUGUGCAAACUUUUAAUUGUCAUGAACUUGGUUGGGUGAUUUUGAACUAUGCCGUGCAAGUGAACUAUGCUAUGUCUUUGUUUUGCACAUUUGUUUAAUGUUUGAAACAUCAUCAUAUUGUCAAAUGGACAUGUGAAAAUCAUAUUUGCAAGCGCCGGCUGCUCGUGCGCUCUGUAAAUUAGCGCGCCUUCUGAAGCUGCUCGCGCGUGCCAUAUUUUACUGCGGCUGCUGGAGCCAGCGCCCUACUUUACGUAAAAAAACACUAUUUCGACGUUGUAAAAAAGUUUUUGCGCGUCGUGCGGUUGCGCACCUGUUAGAGAUGCUCUUAGAAUCGUGUUUUUACGGUGCCUAUGUGAUGCCCUAUUUUGCAAGAACUUGGUGUUGCGGUCGCCCAUCUGGCCGCUGCAUCACUUCUUCCCUGUCGUAGAGCUCAUGCAGGUCUUUUUCAAGCCACACCAAACCGAAGUCAGUACGUACGUGCCCAGUUCUGCAUGUGCUUGGACACAUCUUUUAACUUGCUACAAGGAGGCCAAUGAGCCAAUUGUUCCUUGCGUCAUGCAUGCAUGUCCCAUGCAUGAUGUAGCAGCGGGAUCCUAUACAGCAUGUAGGUCACCCGCUAGCAACAUAGCACGCACCCCCCCUCCCCUGGCCGGGCUCCCCGUUCGGCGUAUCUGCCUGUCCGUUUGCGGUUUAUUUUGCCACCGUUUUCAGAAGGUUCCAGAACCUUCCCAUAACCGUUUUUUUUAUGUUUUCUAUACUGGUUUUUCGUUUUCCUUUUCUUUUAAAUUUUUUCUUUCUUUUCUUAUUGUUUCUUUCAUUUUUCCUUUUUUUCAUUUUUUCUUUUCCUUUUUAUUUUCUAUUUUCUUCCUCUUCAAUUUUUGACUAUUUUUGGCAAUUUUUAUUUUUGCAUUCGUUAACACCUUUUUUCAUCGAAUACUAAAAAUGUUCAACAAUCCAGAAAAUGUUCAUCGAAUUCAAUUUUUUGUUCAUCAAAUUUAAAAAAUGUUCAUAAAAAUUCAAAAUUUGUUCAUCAAACUAAAAAAAUGUUCAUCGGAUUCUUUUUUUGUUCAUUGUUUUCAAAAAAUGUUCAUCACAUUCAAAAUUUGUUCACUUAAUUACAAUUAUGUUCAUCAAAUUCAAAUUUUGUUCAUAAUUUUUUCAAAAAUGUUCUUCAAUACAAAUUUUGUUCAUCAAAUAAAAAAAUGUUCAUAAAAUGCCAAAUUUGUUUAUCAAUGUUCAAAAUAUGUUCAUCAAAUUCAAAAAAAUGUACAUUCCUUUGAAAUAACGAACAUUUUUUGAAUUCAAGAAAUGUUUUGGAAUUUGGUGAACAUUUUUUAAUUCCGUCAGCAUUUAUCAUUUCGCGAACAUUAUUUUCAAAUCGUCAACAAUUUUCGAAUUCACGAACAUUUCACAAGUUGUAACUAUAUUGAAAUCCCGAAUUAGCCUUACAAUGGAAAACAAUUUAAAAAAAAUAAUAGAUGCUUCCGCUUUCCCUACGCACACAUGGGCCAGCCCAUGAGUCGGCGCGGGGGAGCGGGGGUUACGCGCUCCAUCGUUCGCUGGAGCGUACAACGCUAAAUGGGAGGUCUCGAUGUAGCAUCUCAUUGAAUCCGGAUGCAUGGUCCGACCAUCUCUUCAAACCGAAAGCUGCCCAUUUGGUCCAUCAUCCUGGCGUCUGAAAUACUUUUGGAAAGCAAUUAUGGUUAGUUUUCGGAUAAGUACUAUCGAUAAUCUACAAAUAGGAGAUGUUUUAUUGUAUUUUGAUUACUUUUGGAUAGACAAUCAUUACUAUUAAUAUCAUCCUUCGUAUCUAGAUAAAGUAAGACAAUCUAUAAAUAGAAGAUUUUUUAUUCUAUUUUGAUUAAGUUUGGAUAGACAAUUAUUAUUAUUAGUAUUAGCCUUCAUAUCUAGAUAAAUGUAAGGCAAUCUAUAAAGAGAAGUUUUUUUUCUGUUUUGACUACGUUUGGAUAAACAAUUAUUAUUAUUAGUAUCAUCCUUUGUAUCUAAAUAAAUAUAAGACAAUCUACAAACAGAAGAAUUUUCAUUCUGUAGACAAUUAUUAUUAUUAGUUCAGGAUAAAUAUAUUUGAAAUGCCAUGUGAUAAAUGUGGUAAACGAUCGAUCCACACAUGAGGAAUAUAUCUAGACAUGUUUUAGUGUUAAAUGCGUAAAUAUCUUCGUAUUUAAUAAAUCUAAGCCAAUUUUUUGGGAUGGAGGUAACAUAUAAAGAGGGGUCUCGCCCUCAUGGACAGAGCAGCACGGAGAGCAAAGUUGGCUUCCCUACGCAACGAUAACAAGGGUAGCUACCUCGCAAACCUGUGUGCACUCUGCAAGCAGCGGUCUCCACAAUGCUGGCUUGCUGCUGCUUUGUUGUGUCCCAGCUGCUCAUCAUAAUAACACUCAUAUACCUUGUCAUUACCAAGAGCAAGGUGCGCUGUAGCACGUGCUCAUCGGCGACGGUGCCGCUUCCACUUCCGCCGGGGCCAUGGCCGUGGCCAGUGGUGGGUAGCCUGCCCGAGAUGGUGGUCAACAAGCCAGCGUUCCGUUGGAUCCAUCGCGUGAUGAAGGAUAUGGGCACCGACAUCGCCUGCUUCCGCCUCGGCGGCGUCCACGUCGUCUCGAUCACAUGUCCCAAGAUCGCAAGGGAGGUGCUCAAGAAGCAGGACAAAAACUUCUCGUCCCGCCCACUCACCUUCGCCUCCGGCGCCAUCAGCAGCGGGUACAAGGACGCCGUGCUCUCACCGUUCGGUGACCAGUGGAUGAAGAUGCGCAAGGUGCUCACCUCUGAGAUCAUCUGCCCCUCCCGUCACAAGUGGCUCCACGACAAGCGUGCCGACGAAGCUGACAACUUGACGCGCUACAUCUACAACCUCACCGCCCGGGGGUUGUCAUCUUCAACGUCGAGACUAGCCAAUGUCAACGUCAGGCACGUCGCGCGGCAUUACUGCGGCAACGUCAUCCGCCGGCUUGUCUUCGGCCAACGGUACUUCGGGGAGCCUCAGCCGGACGGCGGGCCGGGGCCGAUGGAGGUGGAGCACAUGGACGCUUCCUUCGCCCUCCUAGGGUUCACCUUCGCGUUCUGCGUCAGCGACUACCUCCCGUGUCUACUUGGCCUAGAUCUCGACGGCCACGAGAAAAUUAUUAAGGAGGCCAACACAAAAGUGGAUAGACUGCACGACGUGGUCAUCGAAGACCGUUGGAGGCAGUGGAACAACAGCGAGAGGCAGGACGGGGUCCAGGACUUCCUUGACGUUCUCAUCACGCUCGCCGACGGUGAUGGCAAGCCGUUGCUCAGCAUCGAUGAGGUCAAAGCACAGUCCAAGGUAAGCAAAAUAUUAAUUAAUGAGAAAUUUUAAGAUGGUUCAAGGGCCUAGAUUGAAUUUAGUGACCAAUUGCCUCAUAGUCCUACAAGGUACUAAUACGUCAUCCAUGAGAAAAGGUAAUAGCUCACACUAUUAAAUACUAGAUCUUAUACCGUAUUUCGCAGGUGUUAGAAAAUGGAAACAAUAGAAUAAGAAAUUAUGAAUUAAUAGUUUAAAUAUAGCAUUAUUGUAAUUUUCUACCAUUUUGAUGUGAUUUCAACUUAAAUUGUAUUUAAAUUUCCAAUUAUUCAAUGUAAUCUCUCUUUAUGCAAAGGUAUAAAUUGUAAUAACUUACAUUUAUCUCCAUGGAAUGCAUGCAGGGCAUAAUAUUAGCGGCCAUAGAUAACCCGUCAAACGCAGUGGAGUGGGCGCUGGCGGAGAUGGUGAACAACCCAGAAUUGCUGGCCAGGGCGGUGGAGGAGAUGGACCGGGUGGUCGGUCGCGAGCGACUGGUGCAAGAGUCGGACAUCAUGCAGCUCAACUAUCUCAAGGCAUGCAUACGUGAGGCAUUUCGGCUCCACCCAAUCGCUCCCUUCAACCUCCCACACGUCGCGAUUGCCGACACCAUUGUUGCGGGCUACCGCGUGCCCAAGGGUAGCAACGUCAUCCUCAGCCGGCUGGCCCUGGGCCGAAACCCCACCGUCUGGGAUGAACCACUCCGCUUCAAGCCGGAGCGCCAUAUGGGAGACAACAUCAAUGUGGUGCUUACUGAGAGCGAAUUGCGGUUCAUCUCCUUCAGCACCGGACGACGGGGAUGCAUCGCGGCAUCACUAGGAACAACCAUGAGUGUCAUGCUCUUUGGCAGGCUCCUGCAUGGCUUCACCUGGACCAAACCGGCUGGGGUGUCAGCCAUCAAUCUCAGCGAGUCCAAGCACGACCUCUUCAUAGAGAAGCCGCUAGUGCUACAUGCUGAGCCACGUCUUCCAGUGCACCUCUACCCUCUCAUGCAUUGUUGAGCAAAUAACGAGCUAUGAAUCACCGAUAUGGCGAGUAUGCUAGCUAUUUUUUGAUGAAUCUAUAUUUACUAAUAAAGGAAGGAAAUAUUCUUUUUUCGUCCCGCUUUGUUUCGUUCCACUUCGAUUGAUUUUUCACGUAUGCUAGCUAUUCUGGUUUUGUCUGUUUCACGUACGAGCGAGCCGGUUUCUUUCAUGCGCCGAUGGAUUGUCCUAGGCUUGUCCAAAGCAUUGGAACAGUACGUGAUAGGCAAACAACCACCCAUCUAGUAUUAAUUUUGGACAAAUAGAGAUUAAAUGUAUACAAGAUGAUGCUCUUUAUAUCACCAACGAAUGAUGAAAGUAGGUCGGCGCAUAUAGGGCAACUCCAUUUGAGUUGUUUCUUCCGGCCCAAGUCCCAGGCGGGGCAGCAUAACAGCCUAAUAGUCUUUCUAAUUUGGUUCAUCAAUUAAAUAGUACCACAUAGUUUUCUUACUUUUAAUCCUACAAGUUUAUAUACGCUAGCAAAUUGCCAUGGGAAUCAAUAAGCAGCCUAAAAACAUUAGAAAACUCAGAGAGUGAGGUAUGCAAUGAGGACGCACAUUUUGAGGAUGAUCAGAUCUGAGAUUAUGGGCCAAUGAAAGCAAUACAAACACGAUUAAAGAUCUGUGAUUAUGGGCCAAUGGAACUAGUGAAAACCCAACUAAAUAUCUGAGAUCGUAGGCCAAUGAAAGAAAUGAAGACCCGAUUAAAGAUUCAAGACUAUUAUGGGCCAAUGGAAGAAAUAAAGACGUGAUUAAACUUGCAAACUCAUGCCGAUGUGCAUGGUGCAUAAUUAAAGGACUCGUGGGCUAAAUCAUUAUAAUUUACACCAAAGGCGAGAAGCAGAUGGGUGGGGUAGACUGAGGAGGCAUUUAAGGAUGAGGAGGAACUCGCAAUUUCCACACUUGACGCAUACGACCAGCUCGUCGCCACACUCACGAAACAUGAAAUCAUGGGUGAUGACACGCCGAGGUGUCCACCAAAGCCCGUGCCACCAGAGAGCUACCUCUCUCUCUAGGGAUCUUGUAUUUCUUGCAAUUAAUUUUGAUGAUAAAGACUAAUGUUUGCCCCGCGUUGCAACACACGGGCAUAUGUGCUAGUAAAUCAAAAGAAAAAAGAAAACUGAAAUAAAAAUCAAAAAUAAAAACCUCAAGGAAAAAACAACAAAAAGCCCAAGAAAUACAGGAAUGGAAUCAAACCAUGGAAGAAAAAACCAGAAAAUCAGCACAACAAAAGUUGAACCAAAUACAACGAAAGCAACAGAAUAAAAAGGGAGCAACUAGUUGACGAGGGCUCCUUCGGGAACCUCGCAACGAUCAGCGCCACUUGGCACGCUCUCAGCCGCCCCGCCACAUGUCGCGCUCUGGACGCUCCCUUCGUAUUUUAAUUCUUUUCGCAUGCGUUUUCGGCUUUUUAAAUGGUUUAUUUGGGGUUUUUUCGACGUUUUGGUUUUCCACAGCUUUUAGGCCAAAAAAUUCCAAAUUGCGUGAAAAAGCGCGCUUAUUUUUCUUCCGCGAAAGGCACGGUUGUGCUUCCGCGAGAGGCACGGUUUUGCUUCCGCGAGAGGCACGGUUGUGCUUUCGUGAGAGGCACGGUUUUCCUUCCACGAGAGGCACGGUUGUGCUUUCGCGAGAGGCACGGCCAUGCCUCUCGAAAAUGAAAAAAACGCGUUUUCUAUUUUUUUUGCUUCCGCGGGAGGCACGAUUUUGCUUCCGCGAGAGACACAGUUGUGAUUUUGCGAGAGGCGCGGCCGUGCCUCUUUCGAAAAGGAAAAAUGCAUUUUUUUUGUUUUUUUCCUUCCGUUAGAGGCACGGUUUUGCUUCCGCGAGAGGCACGGUUGUGAUUCCGCUAGAGGCACGACCAUGCCUCUUUCGAAAAGGGAAAAAACCGUGCUCCUAGUUCGGUUUUUUCGUCCAGUUUUUUCAUGAAAAAAAAGUUCGUUAAAACCUAUCAACAUGGUAUCUAGUUUUUAAGAUCUCGACACGAGGAAUCGAACGGUGAAAAUGGUUCGAGAUUUGGACGCAUGAUUUAAGAGAUAAAAUGUUUUGAAUAAACGGAUCUACGAAAAAAGAGAAAACUCACAUGCUGUGACAAAUGAUGCGUGCCAUUUGUCACAACCUGAGAAGGCGGUUGACACGAUAAACUCAAUUGGCAUUAAUGAUAGAGAUAGGGUAAGUGUCAUGUCUUUAUGUUCCUUCCAUGUUCAUGCUUCUUUUUUGGUGUUUCAAGUGCUAACUUGUUCUUUUGUUUGUAGGUCACUAUUGCAUAAAACUUAUUUCAAGGAGAAGAGAAGAAGACCAAGAAAGGGAGACCAUUUGUGUUGGCCCGUUGCUACAAUGUGUUGAAGGAUGAAGAGAAAUGGAAGCCCCGUGAUGACCAAGAGGAGAGCAAGAAAAGCAAGGAAACUAUUGAUUUGGAUGAUGAUGAGGGGAGGAGGAGGCAUCAAGUGAUGGCGGCAAGAGAAGCCCUACACCAAACUCGGUUGCCUACUCCAAACCAAAGAGACCAAAUGGAGGCAAGAAAGAUGAAGAAGAAGAAGAAUAAGAAUAAGAAGAAGAAGAAGAAGAAGAAGAAGAAGAAGAAGAGAGGAGGUGAUGAUUUAAAGAAUGCUAUGGAAGCUAUUGUGAAGGCACGAAAGGAAGCAAACGAGGUGAGGAUGAUGACAAGGAGCCAAGAUACAGAGGCCGAGGAGAGGAGGGUGGCUGUCGAGGAGAGGAGGGUGGCAUUGGAGGAGAAGAAAUUGGCCAUGAAGGAGCGAUCUAGAUUAUUGAAAUGGGAGAAGCACUUGUUCUUCAUGGACACAUCUAAACUCGAUGAUAGGCAAAAGGAGUACGUCAUUCUUUCCCCUGAAGAAGUCGUAGUACAAAAAAGAGACAUGGACAUGGAAGGCAUGGGAGCUACCAAUGGGAGGCAUGGGUGGCUUCGGAGCUACCAUGGGAGGCAUGGGAGCACCUACGGGAGGCAUGGGUGGCUUCGGAGCUACCAUGGGCGGCUGGGAGGCAUGGGUGGCUUCAAAGCUACCAUGGGAGGCAUGAGUUUUGGGUCUCUCAUGGGAGGCAUGGAAGCAACUCUGGGUGACAUAGGUGGACGCAUGUCUUCCUGUGUGCCUCACAUACCUUCUCAUUAUCCCGUUGGAGAUCUUACGAACACCAUCCGAGCUCCCGAUGAUGAUGCGGCGCUUGAAAAUGAAGAGGAGGAGGAAGAAUCGUUUUCGGAUGAGUAGGAAUAAUCGGAGGAAGAAGAGGACGAUGAUGAGUGAUGUGGCAUGAUUGUUGAUGUGCCAUUUGUUUGUGCAAACUUUUAAUUGUCAUGAACUUGGUUGGGUGAUUUUGAACUAUGCCGUGCAAGUGAACUAUGCUAUGUCUUUGUUUUGCACAUUUGUUUAAUGUUUGAAACAUCAUCAUAUUGUCAAAUGGACAUGUGAAAAUCAUAUUUGCAAGCGCCGGCUGCUCGUGCGCUCUGUAAAUUAGCGCGCCUUUUGAAGCUGCUCGCGCGUGCCAUAUUUUACUGCAGCUGCUGGAGCCAGCGCCCUGCUUCACGCAAAAAAACACUAUUUUAACGUUGUAAAAAAAAUUUUGCGCGGCGUGCGGUUGCGCACCUGUUAGAGAUGCUCUUAGAAUCGUGUUUUUACGGCGCCUAUGUGAUGCCCUAUUUUGCAAGAACUUGGUGUUGCGGUCGCCCCUCUAGCCGCUGCAUCACUUCUUCCCUAAGGAAGAGCUCAUGCAGGUCUUUUUCAAGCCACACCGAACCGAAGUCAGUAGGUACGUACCCAGUUCUGCAUGUGCUUGGACACAUCUUUUAACCUGCUACAAGGAGGCCCAUGAGCCCACUGUUCCUUGCGUCGUGCAUGCAUGUCCCAUGCAUGAUGUAGCAGCGGGAUCCAAUACAGCGCGUAGGUCGCCCGCUAGCAACAUAGCACGCACCCCCCCUCCCCUGGCCGGGCUCCCCGUUCAGCGUAUCUGCCGGCCUGUUUUGCGGUUUAUUUUGCCACCGGUUUUCAGAAGGUUCUAGAACCCUCCCAGAACCAUUUUUUUUUUGUUUUUUAUGUUUUCUAUACUGGUUUUUCGUUUUUCUUUUCUUUUAAAUUUUUUCUUUCUUUUCUUAUUGUUUCUUUCAUUUUUCAUUUUUUUUUCUUUUUCUUUUUAUUUUCUAUUUUCUUCCCCUUCACUUUUUGACUAUUUUUUGCAAUUUUUAUUUUUGAAUUCGUUAACACCUUUUUUUCAUCGAAUUCUAAAAAUGUUCAACCACGUAAAAAAAUGUUCAACAAUCUAGAAAAUGUUCAUCGAAUUCAAUUUUUUUCAUCAAAUUUAAAAAAUGUUCAUAAAAGUUCAAAAUUUGUUCAUCGAACUAAAAAAAUGUUCAUCGGAUUCUUUUUUUGUUCAUUGUUUGCGAAAAAUGUUCAUCACAUUCAAAAUUUGUUCACUGAAUUACAAAUCUGUUCAUCAAAUUCAAAUUUUGUUCAUAAUUUUUUCAAAAACUGUUCUUCAAUACAAAUUUUGUUCAUCAAAUUAUUUUUUUUAUAAAAUGCCAAAUUUGUUUAUGGAUGUUCAAAAUAUGUUCAUCAAAUUCAAAAAAAUGUACAUUCCUUUGAAAUAACAAACAUUUUUUGAAUUCAAGAAUUUUUUGGAAUUUGGUGAACAUUUUUUAAUUCCGUCAGCAUUUAUCAUUUCGCGAACAUUUUUUUCAAAUCAUCAACAAUUUUCGAAUUCACCAACAUUUCACAAGUUGUAACUAUAUCGAAAUCCCGAAUUAGCCUUACAAUGGAAAACAAUUUAGAAAAGCAAAAAAAAAAAGAUGCUUCCGCUUUCCCUACCCACACAUGGGCCAGCCCAUGAGUCGGCGCGGGGGAGCGGGGGUUACGCGCUUCGUCGUUCGCUGGCGCGUACAACGCUAAAUGGGAGGUCUCGAUGUAGCAUCUCAUUGAAUCCCGGAUGCAUGGUCCGACCAUCUCUUCAAACCGAAAGCUGCUCAUAUGGUCCAUCAUCCUGGCGUCUGAAAUACUUUUGGAAAGACAAUUAUGGUUAGUUUUCGGAUAAGUACUCUCGAUAAUCUACAAAUAGGAGAUGUUUUAUUAUAUUUUGAUUACUUUUGGAUAGACAAUCAUUACUAUUAAUAUCAUCCUUCGUAUCUAGAUAAAGUAAGACAAUCUAUAAAUAGAAGAUUUUUUGUUCUGUUUUGAUUAAGUUUGGAUAGACAAUUAUUAUUAUUAGUAUUAGCCUUCGUAUCUAGAUAAAUAUAAGGCAAUCUAUAAAUAGAAGUUUUUUAUUCUGUUUUGACUACGUUUGGAUAAACAAUUAUUAUUAUUAGUAUCAUCCUUCGUAUCUAAAUAAAUAUAAGACAAUCUACAAACAGAAGAAUUUUCAUUCUGUAGACAAUUAUUAUUAUUAGUUCAGGAUAAAUACAUUUGAAAUGCCAUGUGAUAAAUGUGGUAAACGAUCGAUCCACACAUGAGGAAUAUAUCUGGACAUGUUUUAGUGUUAGAUACGUAAAUACCUUCGUAUUUAAUAAAUCUAAGCCAAUUUUUUGGGACGGAGGUAACAUAUAAAGAGGGGUCUCGCCCUCAUGGGCAGAGCAGCACGGAGAGCAAAGUUGGCUUCCCUAUGCAACAAUAACAAGGGUAGCUACCUCGCAAACCUGUGUGCACUCUGCAAGCAGUAGUCUCCACAAUGCUGGUUUGCUGUUGCUUUGUUGUGUCCCAGCUGCUCAUCGUAAUAACACUCAUAUACCUUGCCAUUACCAAGAGCAAGGUACGCUGUGGCACGUGCUCAUCGGCGACGGUGUCGCUUCCACUUCCGCCGGGGCCAUGGCCGUGGCCAGUGGUGGGUAGCCUGCCCGAGAUGGUGGUCAACAAGCCGGCGUUUCGAUGGAUCCAUCGCGUGAUGAAGGAUAUGGGCACCGACAUCGCCUGCUUCCGCCUCGGCGGCGUCCACGUCGUCCCGAUCACAUGUCCCAAGAUCGCAAGGGAGGUGCUCAAGAAGCAGGACAAAAACUUCUCGUCCCGCCCACUCACCUUCGCCUCCGGCGCCAUCAGCAGCGGGUACAAGGACGCCGUGCUCUCACCGUUCGGUGACCAGUGGAUGAAGAUGCGCAAGGUGCUCACCUCUGAGAUCAUCUGCCCCUCCCGUCACAAGUGGCUCCACGACAAGCGCGCCGACGAAGCUGACAACUUGACGCGCUACAUCUACAACCUCACCGCCCGGGGGUUGUCAUCUUCAACGUCGGGACUAGCCAACGUCAACGUCAGGCACGUCGCGCGGCAUUACUGCGGCAACGUCAUCCGCCGGCUUGUCUUCGGCCAACGGUACUUCGGGGAGCCUCAGCCGGACGGCGGGCCGGGGCCGAUGGAGGUGGAGCACAUGGACGCUUCCUUCGCCCUCCUAGGGUUCACCUUCGCGUUCUGCGUCAGCGACUACCUCCCGUGUCUACUUGGCCUAGAUCUCGACGGUCACGAGAAAAUUAUUAAGGAGACCAACACAAAAGUGGAUAGACUGCACGACGUGGUCAUCGAAGAGCGUUGGAGGUAGUGGAAUAGCGGCGAGAGGCAGGACGGGGUCCAGGACUUCCUUGACGUUCUCAUCACGCUCGCCGACGGUGACGGCAAGCCGUUGCUCAACAUCAAUGAGGUCAAAGCACAGUCCAAGGUAAGCAAAAUAUUAAUUAAUGAGAAAUUUUAAGAUGGCUCAAGGGCCUAGAUUGAAUUUAGUGACCAAUUGCCUCAUAGUCCUACAAAGUACUAAUACGUCAUCCAUGAGAAAAGGUAAUAGCUCACACUAUUAAAUACUAGAUCUUAUACCGUAUUUCGCAGGUGUUAGAAAAUGGAAACAAUAGAAUAUGAAAUUAUGAAUUAAUAGUUUAAACAUAGCAUUAUUGUAAUUUUCUACCAUUUUGAUGUGAUUUCAACUUAAAUUGUAUUUAAAUUUCCAAUUAUUCAAUGUAAUCUCUCUUUAUGCAAAGGUAUAAAUUGUAAUAACUUACAUUUAUCGCCAUGGAAUGCAUGCAGGGCAUAAUAUUAGCGUCCAUAGAUAACCCGUCAAACGCAGUGGAGUGGGCGCUGGCGGAGAUGGUGAACAACCCAGAAUUGCUGGCCAAGGCGGUGGAGGAGAUGGACCGGGUGGUCGGUCGCGAGCGACCGGUGCAAGAGUCGGACAUCAUGCAGCUCAACUAUCUCAAGGCGUGCAUACGUGAGGCAUUUCGCCUCCACCCAAUCGCUCCCUUCAACCUGCCGCACGUCGCGAUUGUCGACACCAUUGUUGCGGGCUACCGCGUGCCCAAGGGUAGCAACGUCAUCCUCAGCCGGCUGGCCCUGGGCCGGAACCCCACUGUCUGGGAUGAACCGCUCC
This 62724-nucleotide long non-coding RNA is filed under the name Triticum aestivum (bread wheat). RNAcentral's name for it is "long non-coding RNA (TAES_LNC018299)". Lineage: Eukaryota; Viridiplantae; Streptophyta; Magnoliopsida; Poales; Poaceae. The record is from RNAcentral.